UUCAUCUCCCAUUCAUACAACAAACUGCAGUUCUGCCAAUUAUUCAAGACUUUCAUCGACGAUCGAGAGCUUGAAAUAGGAUCUGAUCUCCCCGGAGCUACUUUACUUUUUUUUUUGUUUUUUUUUGUUUUGUUUUUGAGGACGAAUAAAAGUGAUUUACCUCGUACUCAAUUAAAACCGAAAACCGAAAACCGAACUAAUAGCUGAGGUUUUAUCAAAAUAGUGAAUUACCAAGAGUUGUUCCUGAUUGAGUUAAACCAGCUCGGGAUUGCAAGUCAAGUUAAGCAGAUGAGGUACAGAGUGGAGUCUUAUUUGAUGCUCUUGCUCAUUCCAGCUAAGGCAGAACCUGCGCUAAUAAGUUUAAGGUCAGGGAUUGAUAUAUAGAUAUAUCAGGUCUAUAUCUCAGUUAUAAUGGCUAAAAGGUCAUGUUUUUUCCCCUCACAUCAGAAAUUAUAAUGACUAAAAGCUUAAUUCUUAAUGACAGUGGACAGUAACAUAUAGAAAGAACCAUAUAAAUGCUGUCACGCAAUUUGUCAUGCAAUUUGCAAUUGAAACUAUCAAUUUAAGACAUUAUUAUUCAACAGCUACAACUUUAUACCCUAUAUGAUACAUCCUUUCAGUUGAUUUUGAAGCUUUAGUUUGCACAUAUGCAAAUCAUGAAGUUGCACCCUGAUUGUCUGAACCUCUUUUGUCAUCAAGUUUAGUUCCUUCUGUGAAUUCAUCCGUCCUUUAUCUAAACCUUUGUUCACUCUCACAAUUGCCUCGGUCUUUGUUCUUCGGUAAUUCGAACCAAUAGCUGUCAUUGACCUUGUCAUGUUCACUUGUUCAAGAAGAAUAAAUCGUGUCGUAAUCUUCACAGGCAAUCGAUCAUUCUUUGCUACAUGGUCACGAGCCUCUUGGGACAGUCUGUGAUAUUCCAAGGAGCCACAUAGAGUCAUUCUUUCUUCUUCGGUUAAGCUAGGGUGUGCCUGUAAGAAACAUCAGUAGUUGGUGAAGUAAUGUCAGGAAAUACAUUAUCUCUAGAAACUAUAAGAGAAAAGGAACUACGUACUUACCUUGAGGUACAUGUCAAUGGCUCUGUAGAGAUCGUCGUCGCAAAAACGAGCCUCUUUAGGCAUUGCUUCUACAAGUGACUGGAAAGUAUUCAUCUUAAGGUUCUCAUCCUUUGCCACCAGUGUAAGAUACCCAUCCACCAACCUUCCAACAGCAAACAUUUUUGGCGUGGUACUCUUAGAAACAAUGGAAACAUAAGCCACUACCACCCUUAUAACAAGAUUCACAUCAUAGACACUAUCUUUAUCUCCAUAGUUCCUAACUAAGAGAUCAAGAGGACGACAUUGAUCCAACAUGAAAGCUAUUCUUCGUUCAAGCAGACUCAGUAAAUCAGAGUUCACUUUUGUCACGAAGCCUAUCUUCAGAAGGUGAAGUAUAAAAUUGCAAGUAACAGAUUUCUCUUCCACAGGCAGUACCUUAAUCAAGCACUCGAUUGUAACUCUUACGUAUUGGUGGGUCAUGUGCUUGGGGAUCAUACUUUCAAGUCCAGAGGUGAUUCUUGAAAGCCAUUUAACAGUCCAGUGAGCUAUACAUGAUCCAACAAGGUCUGCUCUCAUCCCUUUACAUUUUAGGGAUUGAACGACUUCGAUGAAAUGAUCUACUCGUAGGGUUGAAACAUCUUCAAACCACCAAUUGUCAAGUACUGCACCUUCAACUUUUGAGUCUACAUUAUUUGACAGAAAACUAAAGCACUGCAUAUCAUCAUCUUCAUGACUAGGCGCCUUAAGGUUUGUGCAUGCCUUCCAAGCAAUGGCUUCCGAGCUUCGUUUUGUGAUUUUAAAGUCUUUUGCCCAGGAAGAAAUGGAUUCACAGCUUUUCAGAAUCCGGAAAGUGUCUUUCCAUGAUGAAAAUAUCAAAAAACUUAAAAAUGCCUCAGUUUUGGACAUGAGAUUUCCUUCUUCAAAAUCAUCACACAUCUCCAAGAAAUGUGCAGCACAAUACAGUGGAGCAACAUUGGAAGCUGUUAGAUCAACCUUCCAACCAUAACAAAACUUGACGACUAACUCAAAAAUUUUGGAUCCACCUGGAAGAUUGUCUAUACGGAUUUUGAGGCCGGUUUCUCUCUCACCAAUACUUGUCAGCUGGAAUACUAGUCUGUUCAAGUAUCCACUUCUCAUGACCAUAGGGAGCUGAAGACCAAAAGAAUAUGAAGUUAAGUUUCUAAGAAUCUGAACAUAGUUGAGGUCAGACAAUUAGCUUUCCUAACCAAACAUAUUUUCAUCCAAUUUUUGAAUCUAAAUACUGAUAGGAUGUCUUAGCCACCAGAGUUAAAGCAAUAACAAAGAUUCCAAAUCCAAAUGCUUCUUCAAAACUUCAAAACAUUGUGGCAGCAUUCGGAAGCUAUCACCAUAAUCCUCCUAGGUAGCACACACUAAGUAAACUACUUCACUGCACCUAAAGAAAAUUUUCUUCACAGUGAUAUGUAGAUCAUUUCCAUACACUAGCUACCUUAGAGAUGGACUGUUCUGGUUUAUUCUUUAUUUAGAAGUGUCUUUCAGCUCAGUAACAUACCUUGUGCAAGUGGAAGUUGGUAUCUCCAACUUGUAUGAUCAAAUCAUUGGCAACUUUCGUCCGCACAAACCUGCAAGAAGAAACAUCACUAUAAGCGCUCUAUAGGUAUAGGCAUACAAUUGUAGGAACAAUUAGAGGAGAGAAAUCAGUACCAAUUCUGAUUCCUUUUGUCCAAAGUUUCGGCAACCAUGCUGGAACUCACCAGACAAAUGACACAUUGGCUACUCCCUCCACCAGAUACUAUACCCUGAACAAAUGGUUGUCUAUCAACAAUUCUCCUUCCUGAAGUGUCAGGCUUGUGAUUUCGAGGGAAGACAAACGGCUUAAACAUCUUUUGUUUAGAAGUUUCAGAUAAUGAACAAGAGGCAAAAAGAAUAAUUGUUCCUACAGCAACUCAAACCUUGGAUGCAGAACAUAGGCAAAUCUGAACUUAGUAUUAUAGUCUCGAGUGGUUAUGCCAUUAUGAGGGUUGUUACCUAUUGCAAUCUUCCUGUCAUUUUAGGUAUAGGUGUAUAAUGUGUGGACUUAUAGCAGCCAAGUGAGCCAACUCCAUGACAAUAAUAUGUACUACAAUCUCAUCCACUACUCCAUUAGAGAAACCCAGAAGCACUUUCUUCCCUAUCAUCAUAAUUCUUCCCCCAAAAGCCAUCAUCCAUUUAGCUCUAAACUGACUAAUUCCCUAAUAUCUCCAUUUAGAUAUUUCAGUUGUACUUUAUGCCUCAUCAUACCAAACACCACAGAUACUUUUCCACAUAGAUAACAGUCAAAAUGAAAGCUUUUACAUUUUUACUUUUUUGGGCAAGAACUAAAAAGUGAUUUAUUGCUUGCAGACCCAGAAAAGAAUAAAGACGCAAACUUGAACAGACAAUAUAAUCAAGCAGGUGGUGCGCUUUUCAUUCAAACAAAACGGUCACCUUUUCUUCUUCUUCGUCUUCUUAGAGCCAAAGGCUCACAUAGCACAAAACCCAUUAAUGCAAUGCAGACCCUUCACUUCAAAACCCAAUCUUUCUUCUCAAAACCCACUUGUUUCUUCAUAAACCCCAUUGCUAAAACCCAAAUUUCUCUUCAAAGCUCAGUCUCUGCUCCAAGAUCUCAUCUUUUUUCACUUUCUCAUCGAACCCAGACCCAGAAACCGAUUGUGAAUUCAAGAAAGAAGAGAACAGCAAAUGGGUCUUUGAAAUUGCAGAGAUUCUUGCUCAGAUUGGUGCCCAUUAUCGCCUCCAACCUCAAGCUUCUGCCUCAGCCGUUGGAUCAGGUCCUUGAAGAAAUCAGCGGCGGAGAUGGCGGGGGAGGGGGUGUGGGGUUUUGGAAGGGUUUUGGGGGAGGAGGGUUUGAUGGGUUCAGAAGCAAAAGGAAGAGGAAGUUGCUGUUGCUGUUUUUGUUUUAUGGGAUUUUGGUGAGUUGUGGUUUUGGGUUGUUGUUUGGGGGAGAUUUGGAGAGCAAUGUGGUUUGGUGUGGGUUGUGUUUUGGGGCAAUUGGGGUUGGUUUGGUACAUUGGUGGGAUAAAAGAGGUCUUUUUGGGGUUUUUGUUUGGGGUGUUUUGGUGGGUUCAGGGUUUAAGAGAAAGGAGUUGAGGGAUUGGGGAUUGAAGCUAAGGCCUAUAAUGGAGAAUGUGACAUUGAGAACCACAAGAAGAAGAAGAGGAAGAAGAGCAUUCUAAAUUGAAAGCAACAAGAAAAAAAUUUUGAUCAUUUUUUAUACUAUAUGAAAUACCAUUGUAAUUCUCUAAGCUUAGUUUGCUUAUUUACUUUGUUGACAUGUAUUGUUUGAGUGAAAGAUUUCAUUUUGGGUUUGGUUUUUGAUUCUCAAUGUUUGUUGCUUACUAUAUCUUGUAUAUCUAUAAGGACUUUGUAUCAAUAUUAACCUUAGAGUCUAUAUAUAACCCCAUAAGGUUUUGCACUUGAAAAGCAGAAGCUUCUGAGUUCUGAUUGAUGAAGAAGCACUACUAUACCAUUCUUUCUCUAUUAGAAAAAUGCAAAACCAUGAGUGAACUGAAACAAAUACAUGGGGUGAUGGUCACUAGCUCAGUCAUUAAGAAUGUGAUCCCAUUGAGUAGGGUUAUUGAUUUCUGUGCUAAUUCUGAAGCUGGAGACAUCAGCUAUGCAAAGUCGGUUUUUCGACGAAUUGAGCAGCCCAGUGUCUAUAUCUGGAACUCAAUGAUCAGAGGGUACUCGAAUAGCGAGAACCCGGUUGAGUGUUUGGUAAUGUAUAGAGAAAUGGUGCAUAGAGGUUAUGCCCCUGACCAUUUUACAUUUCCAUUUGUGCUCAAAGGGUGUUGCAUCGUCAGUGAUGUUCAUUAUGGGAAAUGUGUUCAUGACUGCAUAAUGAAAACUGGGUUUGAGUUGAAUGUGUAUGUCUCUGCUGGUUUACUCAAUAUGUAUGCUUGUUGUGCAGAUAUGGAAUCUGCACAGAAGGUGUUUGAUAAAAUGCCCAAGUGGAAUGUAGUUGCUUGGACUAGUCUGAUUUUCGGGUUUGUUGGGAACAAUCAAGCUAGUGAGGCUGUAAAGGUGUUCAAGGACAUGGAACUUUGUAAUGUCGAGCCUAAUGAGAUUACUAUGGUCAAUGUCUUAGUUGCUUGUGCUCGAAGUAGGGAUAUUGAUAGUGGGAAGUGGGUUCACAGUCGUAUUCGCCAACUUGGGUUUGAUCCGUUCGGUUUGAGUUUUGAUUUUAAUGUGAUUCUUGCAACUGCCAUUGUAGACAUGUAUGCAAAAUGUGGCAGCUUGAAGACAGCAAGGCAUCUGUUCGACAAGAUGCCUGACAGAAACUUGGUUGCCUGGAAUUCCAUGAUCGGUGCCUACAAUCAAUAUGGCCAGGGUGAUAAAGCGGUUGAUCUGUUUUUUGAUAUGCGGCAUGCUGGGUUUGUUCCGGACCAAACUACCAUAUUGGGUGUGAUUGGUUCUUGUGCGCAGUUGGGGGCUUUGGCAUUGGGACAAAGUCUUCAUUCGUGUGUAUCAAAAACUGGCAUAGGCACAAAUGCUUCUAUUGUAACUGCUUUAGUGGACAUGUAUACAAAAAAUGGGGAUGCAGGCAGUGCUCAACGAAUUUUUGAGAAUUUGCAGAAGAAAGAUGUAAUGGCAUGGACUAGUAUGAUUGUCGGAUUAGCUAUGCAUGGGCAUGCUACAGAAGCACUGCAUAAUUUUAGAAAAAUGCAAGAGGAUGCUAGUGUUAUUCCAGACCAGAUCACUUAUAUUGGGGUUUUAUGUGCGUGUAGCCAUGUUGGACUUGUGGAGGAGGGUCAGAGACACUUUCGCUCAAUGGUAGAUGUUUAUGGCAUAACACCAACUGUAGAGCAUUACGGCUGCAUGAUUGAUCUUUUGAGUCGUGCAGGCCGGUUUGAAGAGGCGGUGAGACUACUGGAAAAAAUGCCAAUUCAACCCAAUAUUGCAAUAUGGGGAGCUCUCUUAAAUGGGUGUGAGAUAUAUGAAAAUGUAGAUCUAGCUAACAAAUUUAAAAGAUACAUAACAGAGUUGGAGCCUCGUUUUAGUGGAGUUCUGGUUCUUCUUUCCAACAUAUAUGCUAGGGCUGGAAGAUGGCAAGAAGUAAAGCUGACAAGAGAAUUGAUGAAAGAUAGGAGGAUUGCUAAAAGUCUUGGAUGUAGUUCAGUUGAAAUGAAAUUGUUAAGCUCAUAAUGCAUUGUCUUUGUCCAACGUUCUUCAGAUUGGUUUUCAAUUGAGCAGCUCUUAUCCAGCUGUAAAGCUUGCAAUCAAACAAGUUCUAGAAAGUCAUCCGGGAGAGUGAGUGCAAAGAACUUGUUGAUGCCCUCAACAACAAGAUCGAGAGAGGCAAUUGGAAAAUGUACCCUCUCUUAUGUGAAUUGUACAGGCUAAAGUGUGAGUUUGAUCUAACUGCAGUGGAGAUGGAUAGCUGUGGUAGCUAAAGAAGCUACUGUGCUGCAGACGCCAUGGUAAAGCUUGCAAGGUGUUCGUGCUCAAGGAGCCAGGAGAAUGGGCUCCCAACUCUAUGGUUAAUGGUUUGGUCAAUGAUGUGCUCCCAUGCCGCCUGUUUAUCAUUAGCAAUAGCAUUGAUUUUGAUCGUGGUAUAUGGUGCUUGAGUAUUUGCAUCUUCGUAAUAAUCAGGGGAUUGCUCUGAUUAUCACUGAAAGAAAUGGGACUGCACAAGAUAUAUGUAUCAAGCCAUCAAGGUAAGGACUUGUAGUUGAAUGGCAAAUGGUUCAUGAGUGUAUUAUCUCUUUGGAAACUACAAACUUGUUGAAAGAAGUCAGACAACAGUAUGUCGAGGUUCAUUAUAUAAUAUUUUGGGAUGUCAGUUGAUUAUGGUGACACACUGUUGAAGUCUCCAGACACAGAAUUUGCAAACAGUAAUGUCUACAUAACCAUCUUAUUAUAAUGAUUUAGAUUUUGUAUAAACAUUUAGUUUGUUGUUUGAGAGAAACUGUUAUAAUGGUGUUUCUCCAAGAAUAAUCAGCUUUAAUUUGCCAUACAAAUGGAAGGGACUUCCUGAUAUAGUGUAUAGCAUUAUUCAUCCUACUAAAAUGAUUCUCAUUAGUCAUAUAUCCAUCUCCAAACAUAUGGAUACAAAAAUCAGUUUCAAGCUUAAGAUCCAAAACCAAGAACAAGCUGGAACUGAUAAUGAUUUGGUUUGGUUUGGUUUGUUCUACACUAAAUCUAACUGCAAUGUAGGACAACUAGUGCAGUCCCAUGGGUUUCUACAGAAAUGGAUAUGGAGUGUUCUAUAAUCCCCAGGUCUUGUCGGCUCCAUACUUCAUUGCUUUUGCAGGAAGCUCUGGUAGUCAAUUUUGUCCCAGGAAGUGCCUUGGCCAAGUCUGAUUUUUCUGCGGUUAUAGUAGUCGUCUUUGAGCUCAGAUUAAAUAAAGCAACAUAUAUUUCUCCUGCAAUAACCAAAAGGGAAUACAUCAAAAUUGUAAACCAAAGAAAUGAAAAAAGAGGAAUUAGUGAAGUCCAAAGAAUCAUAUCAAACCUUGUCUUCCAGUUGCAACCCAAGAGCGAAGUCCUUUAGAUUUCAUGUAUGGAAACUGUAAAUGCAGCAUAAUAAGAUUUUAGAUAAGUUGCUGUCAUAAUGGAUCAAGUUGUUUCCCAACAGUUCAUCUUUACUCGCCUCCUUAUUAUUUGAGCUAAAAGAAUUGAUCUCAAGCAAGGUAGGAUUUGUUAGGAGACUGUACGUUGUAUCAUCAAGCUUUCUCACAUCUCCUCCAAACAUGAGAGGAGACUUGGCCAUACACCACAAGGUCAUCUGUGUAAAUAAACGGGUUCUACAGAAGUCAGAUAGACUUGAUCAGCUAAGCUAACUGAAAUUAAGACUCAAAUCACACUGGUGCUUUUAUAAAUACCAUAGUUCUUUGCUCCUCUAGUGUGAGGUUAGUCUCUCUAUGUUGACCUUCAUUGAAAUCUAACAUUUUCACCAUAUCAAGAAUUAAGUUAUCAUUCUCAUCACAUCACUAAAGUAGAACUUCAAGCAUCAUAAAACAGAAGCUGUGAAUAAGACAAAAGGAAUAAUGUACAUAUAUUUAGAUAUAUGACACCUCCAUCAUUAAGCCAUCCUAGUGGUAGCAUAUCUAAGUCAGGCCAUGAGCUGUUUGCUCCAAUCAUAUUCGCAGCAGCAAAAUCCCUGAUUGGAAUGGGGCAGAAUACAUAGUUGAAUUUAUUUGAAUCGAAUGAAAUGCUUUAGUAAAUAGAAACUGCAAGUUAUUUUGUCACCUGGCAACAUCAAAACGGGCUACAACAUCUCCCCAGUCAUCCCAAUCAUUCCCAAUUAUACUGUACAUGUUCACUACACUACUUACACUUUUGGCCAUCAUAGGUGUUGCUCCAAUUCCAGGAGAUACAGAAUAUAAUAUAGGUCUUUGAUUCCUCAAAAGCUGCAGGCGCAAGCACAUAUACAUUAUACUUAGGAAACAUGAUAUCUAUUUCUCAAAUUACCAAAUGCAUUAAUGAUACAGUUAGCAGCGUACCAAUGAUGCAUAGGAUAUUUCAUUCAUAUCCAAGUCCUUACCAAACACACAAUCUUGUCUCACUGAUGCAUCAUAAAACUAUAUCAAACAACUUUACAAAGUAACUAACUUCUGUUAUUUACUAGACUUUUGGUAAAAGCAUGUAUAGUUGAGUCUGCUUACCAAAAUCAACACCCCAACUGGCAUACAGUUGAUAGAGAUCUGCCAAGAAGAACCUUCCUGCUUGAAAGGUUGUAUUCACACUCAUGAAACCAUUUUGCAUCCCAGCACAAGUCCUUUCCUUGAUCCCUAUAUCUUGUGCAGUCCAAAUUUUUCCAUUGACAUGAUCGUAAACGUUCCCCUGGAUAAAAGGAACAAAUGAAAUUUCAAGCAUAAGUAUGACAGAUCAAUGAUAUUGCUAGCCAAUACAUGAUACAUUUGUGUUUAAACAAAAGUUCAUAUACUAUGAUAGUCUACGGACCAAGAGAGGAUCCAAGAUACGAGUAUUGGCUUCUACAGCUUGUGUGUUUAUUCCUCUCAUAACAUUAAUUCCAAACUUCAAACCCAUUUUAUGUAUUCUAUCUGCCAUUUCAGUAAACCCUUUCCCACCUUUGGAGCUAGGCCACCUAUCUGGAUCAGGCAUCGGUCUCCCCCAUUCAUCGAUUACAUCAAACCCAAGAUUGUCUGCACUAGCGCCGGUCACAUUUCUCCUAUACCACAGAUGGUCCACAACUACAUACUGCAUUCAAGAAAGAUGAAGUAUAAUAUAAACACAGUAUAUAUUCUGAGUAAUUCUCAGGAUAGAUAAUCAAACUCUUGUUGUUCGCUUUCUGUAAACAACACAACACACCUCAUAUCCAUGAGGAAGUAACUUCUUGGAGAUGAUUUCGGCAUUUUGCAAAAACUCUUUCUCUGUAAUAGUCCAGCUGAUUGCGUUAUAGGAGUUCCAACCUCUAGGUGGGGUGCUAGCAAGUUCUUGUGACAAUACCCUGAUAUCAAUUGUCAUUUGCAAAGUUACACUCGCAUAUAUAGCUGCAUCCUGAAUAGAUUUUUGAUAGCCAUGAUUACCUUGAGAUGAUCAAUGUAAAUGUACUUAUGAAAAACACUUAAAAAGGAGUAUUACAGCCCUACAGAUUGUUGUACAUGCUCUUUUGAUUAUUGAAAGAAAUUAAAAAUAAUAAAAGUGGUAAGAAGGUACCGACACCAGAACACCUUAGAUCACAACUACAUUACUCAAAUGCUUAAGCUUCAUGAAAUGGAUCAACAAUGAAUAUCAAGCAUUGCAUUCCUAUAGCAGAUACCAUAUCAAAAAAAGAAGUUAGCGGAUGCAAUUUUGUAACACAGGAAGGUACUCAACGUCUUCAAGCAUUAGGACUACCAAACUAUGCAAAUUGUGGGACGCCGCACCAUCUUUAUACAAGGACUAGAAGCAACUCACAAUUUGGAAGUAGAAUGGUGACUGUGAAACAAAUAUUGGUGGAUAUUUUGGGUUAUUGAGUUAGGGAUCAUUCUUAUAUUCAAUACUCAAUACAAAGCAAACAAUGAGAACAUGUGAUGAAAACAGUAGUAAAAAUGGAAUUACCUCUGAUUAAAAAGAUCCACCCACCUUGAUUCAUCUCCAUUAUGGACAGAGUUUUGCCUUCACAAGAUCAAAAUCCAUUAUCAAUGAAAUGGAUAAACCCUGGUCUCAUACUAGCAUAGUUAUUCAAACAUGUAUAAAAACUCUAAUUUAGUACUGUUUUACUCGAAAUUGGGACUCUAUGUGAUUUGAAAGUUGAGGCCCCGAGCUGGUAAGGAAGAAACAUAGGUAGCUCAAUAGGAAUCUGCAGAUGUUCAUCACUAGCAGAGCAGAGAACUUCAACUGUAUGGACUAUGGUGAAGAAUCUAAACAGACAGAGGGGAAUGUAGCUAAGACUAAAAACACCAUCUCAACUCUGAAGCCAUUUUCAUUGGAACACACUAUCAAUGUCUUCAAGAUUUGUAUUGAUUUAAUUCUAUAAGCAGAUUAGAAUUCCAAUCCUGGUCCUGUUACAUCUUAAAUUUCAGUGCAUUCAAACUUGGUAUUAAUUAACAAUAAAUGGUGAUUCUUAACUACCCACAAUCGCAGAAUUCCAAUCAAACUUUUCUAAAGCUGUUGACCUGUGGCAAAACUGAGUUGGCAAAGCUGAGGAAGCCUAAACACCAAAAAUUCCACAAACAAUAACCAUUUUGGGUCUGGGAUAAGAGAGUGAAAGUAAAGCCUGGAAUGAGAGAUGAAGAUGAAAAGGAAUCUUCAAGUAAACAACUUGACCACAUUGCAGUAGGCUAUAGAUUCCAUCCCAUCAAAUAAGCCCAAGUGAAAAUGUUGGUAUUUGAUGGUAUGGAUUUAUAGCCUGCAGCACUUAGGUCAAAUAUCAGGUUUCCAUUUUUCAGAGAGGUGAAUUAUGAGUCGGUGGAAUCACAGAAAGGUUUCAACUUUAUACUCUCUUGCAGAAAAUUGAUUUGGGUAAUUAAUCAAGGGAAUUAAGAUUUGGACCCUUAAGAUUUGACAAAUGUUGAUUGAUUUGUUCCCUUUAGUCUGAGACCACAAUUUUUCACCAAAACUGUGGACAAUAACCCCCACUGUUUUUGGCUAGGAUUCUACGUUAAUCUAAAUAAUGAUUUAUAAGCAAACUUGGCAAUGGUAAUCUUUGCAGUGUUUAUUUUUGUGGAUUAUAAUCAGGGAACAAAGAUUAUGAGCUUCUUUUGUUCAGUGUGUAUCUCCUAGCUCUUUUUCUGUUUCAGACAUUUUAAACUGACAAAACUUGGUAUUGGGUUAAAACCCAAAGUUGAGAUGACAAAAGAGAUGGAUAGUUAGUUAUUAGUAUUCCCAGGGAUUACAAAUCCAUAAAAUAGACCCUUUCAGACAAAAUCAACAAUCCAAAUUUAAGGAGUGGUAAUUUCUUAUGUCAUAUAUGGUUGAGAGAACCAUUAAGUACAACAAACAGAAAGGUAAAACUAACAUACAACAACUUGCCAGAGCCUUAAGCACUAGUACAUUCGGCAAUGCCAAGCAUACUGUGAUCAAUAUUAAACUACAUACUGUGUAUCCUAACCCUGUGGAGUCCACUUCAACCAAAUUAGACCUCUCUAAGCUGAAAACUCUAUCACAUCUUCUUCUUCACAAUGCCCUCGAGAAUCCCAUCAGUCUCAAAGGAGCCAGUGAACUGCUGGAAAUCAACUGGGCCAGGAAGGUGGAAGGAGAUAGAGAAGUAACCUGCUGGGGCAAGGUUCUGUGUGAGCAUCUGAAAGACCAUGGAGUUCUUGCACACUGUUUUCUCGCCUGUUGUAGUCACUCCUUUAAUUUUCACUUCUCCAUCAGCCUCAAUGGAACAACUAAAAUCUGCAUUCCAAAGUAUCAAUCAGGACAUUGUCAAUAAUAUCCAAGAUAUGUUGAUGGAGAAGAACAAUACACAAUUUUCACAACGAGUGGACUACCCAAUUAUUGGUAGCUAAAACAGAACUGUUACCAAAUACAGAGAAAAAGCACAUGCAUGACUAAAGUAGAUAAUUAUUUAAUAAUAUCAAACCUCUGUCAGAACGAUAUGAACUUAAUAUACCGAUUUAUAUCUAAUCACAGAAAACAUUAUUCUUUGCGAUAACGAAUGCAAAUCAGGGAACAUGGCUUCCUUCAUAUAAUCCAGAAAUGAUGCUUUUCUUUAUCUUAAACAAUUAAAUGUGUUAGCAAUAACAGCAGUAAUCAUCAAGUAUCUAAACUAGAUGGUUACUCACUUUCAUCCCUUGAAACACCUGGCAGGGAUACGCGAAAUAAGUACGAGUCAUCAGCUUCACCAAUGUCGACCUUUCCUAUUAUGGGUCCCAGCUGUCCUGUUGCAGCAACUCCAGUCAAUACAACCCCUUUGCUGGUUUCCAGAAUUCUAUCCCGCUCUUCUCUUGUUGCGAGUGAAGGUAGAAGCACCAUAGCUGGCUCCAUUUUCCUUUGUUCACCAGACUCUCUGGCGCCUGAUCUCUCUGUGCUUGGGGGAAUAUACGGCAUGCUAUUUAAAGGUGCCACAUUGAAAAUGGGUUUGUCAGGAUCAAUAUGAUCUGCUUCGUUACUUUGACCUGCCUUUCCAAAACUACAAGAAGAACUCAACUCUAUCACAAAUUGCAAAUAUCUAAAGAUAAAUAACAUCUAUACUGCAAUGGAAAGAAACUUUUAUUCCGCAUAACAAUUACAAGAUUAGUUGAUGAUAAUACUCAAAUAGCGACACAUACAACACAAUCACCAUCUAUCAAUAUAUAAGAAGAGAGUACAAACAAGUCAACCAGCAGUCUACAUAAGAUAAAGAAACCACACACAACCUACACAAGAAACUGAAACAUGGACAAAGCAACCGAAGCCCACAAAGAACUACAACAUCAAGCAAAACCCUGUGCUGAAAAUAGAACACUAAUCUAGAAACAAGAAAUUUUGUAUACCAUGGAAUGCCAGUAUCUUAACAAGCUUUGUUGUCCUCAAUGUUCAUUUGGUAGUGUCAUAUUUAUAGACAUGUUCGAUAGGCAAAUACUAUGGGCCUGAUUUACAUAUGGCGCACCUUGUUUAUAUUGAGUGUGACAGACACUACUUCAAUUAGCUUUAUUCUACCGACCUGAUUACAAACGGCAUAUCUGGUUUUCUCAAAGAAAGCAACAGGUGUUACACCUAUGGCCGAACCUGACAUAAUGUGCAUCAUAUUUUCUGUUAGCAGCAUCAUACUAACCAGAUUUACACAUAGAGUGUAACGAACAUUACUUCUCUUGGCAGUAUCAUAUAUUUCCUAUCACGCUUACAUACUGCGCACAUGGUUUUUACAUAGAGUGGAAAAGGUAUUGAUUCUCAGGGCAUACUUCUUCCUUUCUUAAAAUCAGAGCAAUCUGGACUGGACUUGUAUAUGGAAGAAGCUAUUCUUUAUGAUUUCAUGUAUUUUCCUCUAUAUACAGCACUACGAUUAUCGGGUAGGUAAUUCGCUAUAGGUGGUAUUCGAAAGAUUGAAACUAUGAAGGUAAUACACGUACUGCACACCACAUUCCUAUUAGAAAGUACUAGAACUACAUUAUGAUACAUACCAUAUCAUAUGGUACCUCCUUCACAUAAGGUUGUCAUUUAUUUCCAUAUACAAGCCAAAAUUUACAGACAAAAAAACUGUACAUUUAUAAGCUAUGGAUACGAAACCCACUACUUUUCCAUACUUAUUAUAUGCUAGUGUGUUGCAAAUACCAUAAUCUACUAUUCCUUAAUUAGUUAUUGACUUGUCCUUCACUUGCUUAUCAGACUAACAAAACGAAUUCCUUCCAAAUGUUAAUAGGAUGUCAUAGAAAACCGGAAUGAAAGUAAAUGAUGUAAUAAAUAGGCUUAUGAUCAAGAACUAAUCAAACUUCUAACAUACCAUUUCAGCAAAACGGUUUCAUUUAUCCGAAAUUCUGAACUUCUUUCUUUUAAAAAGCGCGGGAAUGUAUCAAGUGUUGCUAUCGUAAAAGGACUCCAAGAUUCCGAUUGCAUGACAUGUUUGAACCUUUGUUCAAUUUAAUAAAAGAAAAAUGCUUCUCAAGACCAAAAGACCAACAUCCCAUAAAAUCCACAUCGAACUCCAAAUUCCAAAUCACCCAUGAAAAUCACAUUUUGACCCAUCAUGAUCCCUAACAUUUCCUCGAAAACAUGAUGCUGGCACCUAUAACCAUAAUUUUCAAACAAACAGUUUCGAAACUCCAUCAGCCAAAAACAAACCCUUUCUUCCUUAGCGUCAACUCAAUCCAAAUAAAUCCCAAAUCCAAUAAAACUUCAACCAAACAGAUGUUUAUCUUUUCUUAUUCAUACCAACUUUCACCAAAAAUUGGCUCUUCAUAUAAACACACUACAAGAAAUUCACACACUCAAUAAACACAGCAUCAAACAUGCAAACAUACCAAUCUAUUUACAGCAUCAUAAUCACAAAAAAGAUAACAACUUUAUACAAAACAGACAUGUAAAUCGCGAUUAAGCCACAUGAAAUUGCAGAUAUGGCUCCCCAAAAUUAGUCUACGAGUAAUUGAAAGCAGUAAUGUAAAAGAGUAUUGAACUUUAUACAUGUGCAUUUUAGUAUGCGAAUUGGUUAAGAGUAAAUGAGUGUGGGUUUACCUAGGCGUGCCGGAAUAAGCCAUCGGAGAGUGAUCGGAGAUGGACUAAAACGGCGUCGUACCGAGGAGCUGGUUUGGGUUGGUGUUGAAGUGUACUGACAAAGACUGAGCUGUGAUUAAAUAGUGGGAGCAGCUAGAGUGAGAAUAUUGAGGUGUGAAAAGGUGCAGCUUAACUAUUAUGAGCCUCAGCUGAGCUGGGAUAAUAGUUACCAAAUUAAGUAAUUAAUAAAGAUGAUUUUCGGAAUUUAUUAUUAUUGUACCACAUUGUUGAACUCAUUUUCAGCUGUUCGAUUUGAGUUUAGUCUUUGGUAAACUGACUUAACUCUUAAUUCGAUACUUACGUUUGUAUGAAAUCCGAGAUUCUUCUUUUAUAAGGGAGCAUAUUUUGAAUCGAUUGGAAUACCCCCGAGUUUUAUGUCGAUACACAAGACUCUUGUUCUUGUUAAAUUUUCAAUUUUCAAUUCUGGAACCUUAUUUAUAUGAUGAUUUAAUGUUUAGAUUGUUUUCUAUUUUGGAUUGGAUUAUUAUUAUCUAUUUUUGGAUUUCUAUCUAUUUUGGCCAAUAUGACUGAUUAGUCAUGUUGUGUGAUGCUUGACCUUGACUCCGGCAACAACAUCACUACAUAACUAGGCUCUCAAGAACAACCAAGAGUUCAUCAAGAACCGUCGUGACAGUGUACAUGUACCGGCAGGCAAGGACGGGGGACAUGGUCCCAUGGUUGUUGCCAAGGAGCAGCCCUCUACAUUCUAGACUUUACUGUACUGAAUUGGUUAAUCUGGAUGUAUAGAGUUGCAGAAAAUUGUAGACAUAACACAAGUAUAGCACAUUACUUCUCUCUUUUAUGUUGUCAGUGAUCAUUUCGUUCACUAUGGAUAUAUCUCUGCUGGAAAUGCUCUGAAUAUAGAGAGAUUGUGCUCAUUCUCAGUUAAGUUUAGGUUCAUUUGAAGCAAAAUGGAAUUAGUGCAGGUUUCAAAUUGAUUUCUAGUGCAAUUUGUGAUCAUAAUGAAAUACAAGGGGGAAAAUUGACAAGGGGAACUUUUUUGCAACCAAAGCUGUCUUAUUGAACAUUUUGCAGCAACAUACAUUCAUUUUCUGAUUAUGAGGAACUCCAAAUUAUGUUCAUUCUACAACUUCAUUUUCAGAUCCAUCAUAUUUUAUUUUUGGAUCCAAUGCUUGGCUUUGGUUAGAUCUGCUCCCUUCCAUGCAUGGUUGCAGAACCCAGAUACGGUUUCUACGGUCGCUACAACAAAUAUAAGUAAGAUCAUUAGAUACAUUAGCACUCACAAUGAAAAACAAAUUGUUGUCAUUAAUCUAAUUUGUAAACACGGGAUGAAUGAUUGAACUUCUCGAUGUAGAAGUAAAGUUAUGGGAGAUUGCAUUAUAAGCAAAGAAAAGUAGCUCCCAUGAAAGCAAACAACAUAAUCUAACACUAAACUCCACAAUGAAACUAUUUUAAAAAGACAAUUCUUUUCUUUUUCUUAGUCAUAUAUACCUUGGUGUAUGCAGGAGGGGCCUGUUCCUGUUAAAUUUUCCACUAAUCCAAUAUGUUUCUUUGAAACACCUAAAUCAGGAGAUAACACUUAAUGUAACAUCUCGGACCAAAUUUUACCUAUUUACUGGGUAUUCUACGAGUUAUUGAGGAAUUCAACCAUGCUCGGUAAUUUAACACUCGAGUUUAUUUUCGAGUUUUUCUCAAAAUGUUAAACUCUUCUUUUACAGCCCUAGUGUCGUAGCACGCGACGAUAUAAAUUCACCAAUGUCCUCGGAUUUAUUUUUCGGAGCUUCGAGCUAUUUUCUACGUUUUAUCGAAGUUUGGUAAAAAGAUUGUUUCCUGAAAUUCAAUCUCUGCUAUUUGAUCAACUAGGGUUUCUUUUUUUUCUUUUUUUUAUCGUGGCCGUCGAUUAAAGCAUAAGGAGAAUUGAAAGGCUGACUUUCGGUCAAAGACCCAUCUCGGCUUUGACCCGAGUCUCUCUCCUUCCUCUCUUUCUCACCGCAGCCACAGCUUCUCCGAUCGGAAACUUGGCCGUCCGGCCACCCCUGGCGACGGGACUGCCACCAAAGUGAUCCUCUUCUCCUUCUCUUCCUAGCCCAGCCUUUAAACUCACUUGAAACCCCAAUCUUAGAGCAGAUCAACAAAGAGGAGCACGGCUGUGUUCGCCGUUUUCGGCGAGCUCCGGCAGCGACAACGACAAUGAUCGGUAGGGUUCUUCUCCUCUUUCUUUCUUCUUUCUUUCUAUGCCUUUCACUCUUCAAAUCGAGUUCGAAUUCGGAAAGCCCUCUUUGGUGUUUCUAGGUUUUCGUCGAGUUUUUCCGAUGGGUUGUUCUUGGAGCUCCGGCAGGACUUCCGAGCUCUGGUGAGUCUAGAAGCAGUUGAGUAGAGCUCAGUCGCGCCUUGUAGGGAUUUAAGAGCAGCAGGCAUGAUUUGGGAGCGGAGCAGAAGCUUAGGGUGUUGCUGCCGUGGUGUUGGAGGCGUUGGUGAGCUUGUGUGUUGUUGAAAGCCACGGUUUGCAGUAGCUGUAUUGGCUGACAAUGAACUCAGUCCGGCAAAGGUGCUAGCAAGGUGAGAAAUCUCUUAAGUUUUUGCUCGGUUGGGUGAUUGAAAUGUUCUGUGUUUUUGUGAUAUGGUGGAUUGGUGUUUAAGAUUGGGUUUUGUUGCUUGUUGUCGAGAACUUGGUGUUUUUGAAGAAGGCGGGGAGGUCAUGGCGAAAUUCCGGCAAGUGGCCGGAAUCCGGCAAGAAUAUUCCGGCUAGUCGUCGGAAUCCGGCAAGGGGUUCUGACGAGGCAGCAUAUCCGGCUGAGAGUUGUUAAGGUAGUUUUGAGUCUGAUAAAUGAUAUUGAUGCCUUAAGAGGAAUUGAUGUUGGAGUUUAAAAUUGUGGGCCGCUAAAGAGCCGCUUUAACCUGCCAUUGGACUGCCUUGACCCUCCUAGACCUGCGUAGGGACUUCCUAGACUCGCCAAGGGGCUACCGAGACAUGUCUGGGGCUGCCAAGAGGCUACCGAGAAAAAAUUAGAGCUGCCAAGGUGGCGCCUUGACCCAUUGAGAACCUCCUAGGGGCCGCUUUAACCUGUCAAAGGGCUGCCGAGACAAACUUAGAGCUGUCAAGGGGGCGCCUUGACCUGCCAAGGACUGUUAAGGGGUUGACGCGCUCGUUUCCGAACGUGCGACAAUUAUGAACCCUGUUUUGACAAUUGUAGUAUUGGUAAAUAAGGUUCGAUCAAUCCAGGGACUUUAGGGUGCUCCUGCGUUUACAAAACUAAAUAUAUUAGAAUCUAAUUUAAGAGUUAUUUACAGAAUAUAAACAGCAAUUACAUUUACACGAUUUUAGGGGGGAUUUUAGGAUUUGUUCUAACAUUCCUACGAAAAUAGUAAAUAAAGUAUAAUAUAUACAAGUGAUCAUCUUCCACACACAUCAACCAGCAAUUUCAGAAUCAGUCAAACAAAUAUCAACAUGUCUCAACCAUAUAAUCAAAUUCGUCGCCAAGUGAUAACAAAAACAAACUCGAAACACAAGCCGCAGCGGUCAUGCAUUCCUUUAAUUCUACUUAAUUUAUAUCAUAAGCACAGAGAAGUCUAGAACCUAAGAUAUUUCAUGCAAAGGCUGCGAUCGAUACUUUGUGUCACUCAAAGUACCCGUCUACUUUAUGUCACUCAAAGUACCCGUCUACUUUAUGUCACUCAAAGUACCCGUCUACACUAAACAUGAAUCAUUAAGUGCUAUAGAAUUCUGAAUUUGAACAUGCCCAAGUUUACAAGGGGCUGCUUAACUUGUAAGCAUGUAACACACAGUUUCGGCUAUUAUUACAUAGCCUUUGCCACUGGAGAUCUACACUUACUUGAAGAAGCUUAGUAUAGAUCAUAACAACACUAACCUGCAGAUUAGAGUUUUGGUGAAAACAAAACUAUGCAUUUAAUGAAUCAACAAGGCAACAAAACAGAACACAUAAUAUCAUAGACAAGUCGAACACAUGCUUAAAUUACUCUGAAAAUUCUCAAUUUUGAAUCCAAAGCAUCCAUCCAAUCUUAAAGAUGAAUUCAUAACUUCAAUCCAAAAACCAAAACAGAAACGAAGAAAGCAGAAAGUACUAGACAUUGUUACACUUUUAUUGGUUCUACGAAGGUCUUUCGAGACGGUAGAGUGAAAGCAGACACCUAGAGGACUUCAGAGCUUCUUGGAAAGUCCUAAGGAGCACCGGCUUCUUGCUUCUUGGCUUGGAGAUGUUCGGCAAAGGAAGAGAGAAAGAGAACGUUGUUUACUGAUUUCUGUGCGAAGAAGAGAUGAAGAAAACGUUUCUCUCUGCUCCUUUAUAUAGUGUCUUGGCCAAACCAUAGCUAUCCUCCUAGCCCUUGAUUGAUUUGUGAUCCAACGGUGUAGAAUUAUUGCUUUAAAUCUGAUUUAGACUUUCUCAGAAUUCUCUGAAAUGUCUUGUGCAGUAAUCUAUUGCAUAAGGCUUGAAUAUGGACCAGGUACACUCCUUGUUCUCCAAAGGAAAUCCCUGUGAUUAAGAACUUUCCCUAUUCUGCUAUCAAUCAGGUCUCUGACGAAAAUCCAUGAUUUUCCUCUAUUUCUUGGUGCGCAAUUAGGGUUCCUGCAAGGGAAAUAAAAUCAGAUAGAUAUGGUAGGGAAUAACAGAAUUUAAAUGACGAAUUUAAAGGAAAGAAUCUCCCUUAAUUCUCUGAUUAGCAAAUAUAAAAUCCUUGAUUGCUGCAGAAUUCGUCCUCCCCCUUUUAUACACAUUCACAGAUUCCUAUUCCAAGUUGGAUUAGGUUUUCUGACUGCAAAUGGUUUCCCUGUCUCAUUAGAAAAGAAAGUUUCCUAAUUAUUUUAGGAAAGUCAGAAUAGGAAAGAUUCAGAAAUAGUAAGUUUCCUAAAUCAAAAUAAGAAAGUUUCUUAAAAUGAAAUAGGCAACUUUUCCUUUUCAAAACAGGAAAGUUUCCUAAACGACUUAUACUUUGAUUCUGUGACUUAAUGAGACUCCUUGCUGCACCAGGAAUCCUCCUUUGAUUAGGAUUUCACUCAACUCUUGUGUUUUAGCCUUCUUUUGUGUAAAACUGCCUCUUUUGACCUACAACACAGAAACAAGCAAGAAAUGACAUUAUUAAGGAAUUAACGAAGCUAAAUAGGGUAGGAAAUACAUUAAGAAUAUAGCAUAAAAUGCGCGUAUCAGGGGUCGCUUUGACUUGCCAAAGGACCGCCUUGACCCUCUCCUAGACCCGUUUUGGGGGUGCCUAGACCCGCUAAGGGGCUACCGAGACACGUCUAGGGCUACCAAGGGGAUAACGAGACAAACUAAGAGCUGCCAAGGGGUGCCUUGACCCGUCGAGGGCCGCUUUGACCCUCUUAGACCCGUGUAGAGACCACCUAGACCCGCUUAGGGGCCUCCAUGACUCGCAAAUGGGUCGCCAUGACCCUCCUAAGCCAGUCUAGGGCCACCAAGGGGUCGCCAAGACCCGCCUAAGCCCGUGUAGGGCUGUCUUGACCCGUGUAGGGCCGCCUUGACCAGCUUUGGGCCGCCUUGACCCUCCUAGGCUCGCCUAGGGUACCCAAGGAGCCACCUUGACCUGCUUGGCUUGCCUUUGACCGCCUUGACCUGCCUUCACCCACAUAGGGCCGCCAAGAGGCCGCCUUGACCCUCCUAGGACCGCCAAGAGCCCACCUUGACAUGUUUAGGGCCACCAAGGGGCCGCCUUAACCCCGCUAGGGCCGCCAAGUUGCCACAUUCACGCGUCUAAGGCCACCAAGGGGCAGCCAUGACUCGCAAAGGGGUCGCCAUGACCCUCCUAAGCCCGUGUAGGGCCGCCUUGACCAGCCUUGGGCCGCCUUGACCCUCAUAGGCUCGCAUUGACCUGCCUAGGGCCGCCAAGUGACCGCUUUGACCCGCCUUAGGCCGCCUUAGCCUGCUUUGACUCGCCUUAACCCGCCUUGGGCCGCCUUAACCCUCAUAGGGCCGCCAAGUGGCCGUCUUGACCCGCCUUUGUCCAAGGGACCACCUUGACCCUCCUAGACCUACGUACGAACCACCUAGAUCCGUUUUGGGGCCGCCUAGACCCGUUAAGGGGCUGUCGAGACACGUCUAGGGCUAACAAGGGGAUGACGAGACAAACUGAGAGCCGCCAAGGGGGCGUCUUGACCCGUCGAGGGCCGCUAAGAGGCUGCUUUGACCCUCCUAGACCCGCGUAGAGACCACCUACACUCGCUUAGGGGCCUCCAAGACCCGCUAAGGGGCUCCCGAUACAAAAUUAUAGCCGUCAAGGGACCACCUUAACCCUCCUAGACCCAUAUAGGGACCACCUAGACCCACUUAGGUACUGCCUAGACUCGCCAAGGGUCGCCGAGACACGUCUAGGGCCACCAAGGGGAUGCCGAGAAAAACAUAGAGCCCCCAAGGGGAGCCAUGAUCCACCGAGGACCGCCAAGGGGGCGCCUUGACCUACCGAGGGCCGCCAAGUGGCUGCUUUACCCUACCAAGGGACCGUUGAGACAAACUUAGUGAUAGGUGCAUUUUAUGCAACGUUCUUAAUGUAUUUCCGACCCUAUUUAGUUAUGUAAUUCCUUUAACAAUAUUGAUUUUAACUUAGUUUGUGUUUUUAGGUCACAAAUAAAGCCGAGGAGCACAAAAGAGGCAAAAGAGGAGAAAUCUUGAAGGAAAAGGAAUCCAUAUGGCGCAAGGAAAGAAAUCAGAAAAUCUGCCAGGAAUAGUCAGUCAACUUCGACAGAGAAUUGUGAUCAGGUCACAACGAUCCAGGAGAUGAACUUUAUAUCAGCAGAAAGCUAGAAGAGUCUAGUUUUCAGAACUUUUCGCAGAUCGUCAAUAGCUAUUUUGGUGACCAAGUUAUGACCAUUUGAGUGACCAAAGGUCAGUCUGCCCGAAUUUCUGAUUUGGACCGGAACUUCAAUUUCAAGGCCCAGACCACAACGGCGAGCCCAUGGACGAAAAUUAAAGGUUCUCUAACCCUAAUAGCAGCUGUUAAUAUGUUCUCUAUNNNNNNNNNNNNNNNNNNNNNNNNNNNNNNNNNNNNNNNNNNNNNNNNNNNNNNNNNNNNNNNNNNNNNNNNNNNNNNNNNNNNNNNNNNNNNNNNNNNNNNNNNNNNNNNNNNNNNNNNNNNNNNNNNNNNNNNNNNNNNNNNNNNNNNNNNNNNNNNNNNNNNNNNNNNNNNNNNNNNNNNNNNNNNNNNNNNNNNNNNNNNNNNNNNNNNNNNNNNNNNNNNNNNNNNNNNNNNNNNNNNNNNNNNNNNNNNNNNNNNNNNNNNNNNNNNNNNNNNNNNNNNNNNNNNNNNNNNNNNNNNNNNNNNNNNNNNNNNNNNNNNNNNNNNNNNNNNNNNNNNNNNNNNNNNNNNNNNNNNNNNNNNNNNNNNNNNNNNNNNNNNNNNNNNNNNNNNNNNNNNNNNNNNNNNNNNNNNNNNNNNNNNNNNNNNNNNNNNNNNNNNNNNNNNNNNNNNNNNNNNNNNNNNNNNNNNNNNNNNNNNNNNNNNNNNNNNNNNNNNNNNNNNNNNNNNNNNNNNNNNNNNNNNNNNNNNNNNNNNNNNNNNNNNNNNNNNNNNNNNNNNNNNNNNNNNNNNNNNNNNNNNNNNNNNNNNNNNNNNNNNNNNNNNNNNNNNNNNNNNNNNNNNNNNNNNNNNNNNNNNNNNNNNNNNNNNNNNNNNNNNNNNNNNNNNNNNNNNNNNNNNNNNNNNNNNNNNNNNNNNNNNNNNNNNNNNNNNNNNNNNNNNNNNNNNNNNNNNNNNNNNNNNNNNNNNNNNNNNNNNNNNNNNNNNNNNNNNNNNNNNNNNNNNNNNNNNNNNNNNNNNNNNNNNNNNNNNNNNNNNNNNNNNNNNNNNNNNNNNNNNNNNNNNNNNNNNNNNNNNNNNNNNNNNNNNNNNNNNNNNNNNNNNNNNNNNNNNNNNNNNNNNNNNNNNNNNNNNNNNNNNNNNNNNNNNNNNNNNNNNNNNNNNNNNNNNNNNNNNNNNNNNNNNNNNNNNNNCUGUUCUAUGGAACAGUAGCUACUUUUGUAAAUUGUUUAAAUGUUUUAUUACUUGUUAAUAUUUGUUGUGUUUUUCUAACGCUUUGUUUUGCAAGGUACCCUCAAUCCCCGGCCCUAUACGAUACCCUACUUACUCAAUGCUACUAACGAUAAAAAGGGUUUAUUUGAUGCAGGUUUUGCACCCGUCACUUAGAGCUGCCAAGGGGGCGCCUUGACACGCCAAAGAUCGUUAAAAGGCCUCUUUGAACUGCCAACAGACCGCCUUGACCUUCUUAGACCCACGUACGGACCACCUAGAGCUGCUUAGGGGCCGCCUAGACUUGCCAAAGGGGCAGCCUAGACACGUCUAGGGACGCCAAUGGGCUUCUAAGAUAAACUUUGAGUCGCCAAGGGGUCGCCUUUGCCUUCCAAAGGGCUGCCUUGACUCACCUAGACCCUCCUAGGCUCGCCUAGGGCCACCAAAGGGCCGCCAUAACCCUCUAAGCCCAUCUAGACCCGCCUUGGGCCGCCAUGACCUUCUUAGACUCGCCUAGGGUAGCUAAGGGGCCGCCUUGACAUCCCUAAGGCUGCCAAGCGGCCGUCUUGGGAAACCUUGACCCGCAUUAACCCGGCAAUAAGACGUCUUAACCUAUUUAGGGCUAUCAAGGGGCCGCCUUAACCCGCCUAGGGUAGCUAAGGGGCCGCCAAGACCCUCCUUGGGCUGCCUUUGACUACCUUGGACCGUUUUUGACCGCCUUGACCCGCCUUGGGCCGCAUUGACCCUCAUAAGGCCGACAAUAAGGCACAUUGACCCAUCUAGGGCCACCAAGGGGUCGCCUUAACCCGACUAGGGCCGUCUUGACCCGCCCUAGGCCGCCUUAGACCGCCUUGACCCCCCUUAACCCACCAAAAGGCACCUUGAAACCCCUUGACCCGUCUUAGGCCGCCUUGACCCUCCUAAGACCGCCAAGGGGCCGCUUUCACCCUCUUAAAGCAACCAAGAGGUCGCCUUGACCCGGCUAGGGCCGCCUUAACCCGCCUUAACCCUGCAAGGCCGUCGUAGGCUCGCCUAGGGUAGCCAAGCGGCCGCCUUGACCCGCCUUGGACCGCCUUGACCCGUCUUAACCCAUCUUGGGCCAUAUUGACCCUCAUAAGGGCCGCCAAUAAGGCGCCUUAACCCAUCUAGGGCCACCAAGGGGUCGCCUCGACCCGCCUUGGGCCGCCUUAACCCGCCAAGAGCCGCCUUGACCCGCCCUAGGCCGCCAAGGGGCCACUUUCACCCUUUUAAAGCCACCAAUAGGCUGCCUUGACCCUCCUAGACCCGCCUAGGGUAGCCUUGACCCGUGUAGGGCCACCAUGACCCUUCUAGGCUCGCCUCGGGUAGCCAAGGUGCCACCUUGACCUGCCAUGAUUAGCCUUGACCCGCCUUGACUCGCCAUGGGCCACCUUAACCCACCUUGGGCCGCCUUGGACCGCCUUAACCCGCCUUGGAUCACCUUGACCCACCUUGACUCGCUUUGAACCGCCUUGACACUCCUAGACCCGCCUAAGACCGUCUUGACCCUUCUAGACCCUCUUAGGGCCAUCAAGGGGCCGCUAUGACUUGCCAAGGGGUCGCCAGGACCCUCCUAGGCCCCGCCUUGACCCUCAUAGAGCCGCCAAUAGGGCACCUUGACCCAUCUAGGGCCACCAAGAGGUCACUUUGACCCGACUAGGGCUGCCAAGGAACCGCCUUGGGCCGCCUUGACACGUCUAGGGCAACCAUGGGCCGCCUUGAAAAGCCUUUACCCACCUUGGGUUGCCUUGACCCUCCUAGGGCCACAAAGAGGCCACUUUCACCCUUCUAAAGCCACCAAUAGGCCGCAUUGACCCUCCUAGGGCAGCCUUGACCCGUGUAGGGCCGCUUUGGAUCGCCUUGGGCCGCCUUGACCCUUAUAGGGCCGCCAAUAGGGCGCCUUGACCCAUCUAGGGCCACCAAGGAGUCGCCUUGACCCGGCUAGGGCCGUCUUAACCUUGCCUUGGGCUGCCUUGACCCUAGAAGGCCGUCCUAGGCUCGCCUAGGGUAGCCAAGCGGCCGCCUUGACCCGCCUUUGACAACCUUGACCUGCCUUUGACCACCUUGAACCGCCUUUGACCGCCUUAACCCGUCUUGACCCUCAUAGGGCCGCCAAUAGGGCGCCUUGACCCAUCUAGGGCCACCGAAAGGUCGCAUUGACCCUCCAUGGGCUGCCUUGACACUACAAGGCCGUCCUAGGCUCUCCUAGGGUAGCUAAGCGGCCGCCUUGACCCGCCUUCGGCCGCCUUGACCCUCAUAAGGCCACUAAUAGGGCGCCUUGACCCAUCUAGGGACCAAGGGGUCGCCUUGACCAGGCUAUGGCCGCCAAGGAGCCGCCCUGGGCCUCCUUGGCCCGCCAAGAGCCACAUUAAAACGGAUUGACCCCCCCUUAGGCCGCCUUGACCCUCGUAAGACCGCAAAGGGGCCGCUUUCACCCUUCUAAAGCCACCACUAGGCCGCCUUGACCCUCCUAGACCCGCCUAGGGCAGCCUUGACCCGUGUAGGGCCGCCUUGACCCUCCUAGGCUCCCCUUGGGUAGCCAAGGUGCCACCUUGACCUUCCUAGGGCCGCUAAGUGGCUGCCAUGAUUAGCCUUGACUCGCCUUGGACCGCUUUUACCCGCCUUAACCCGCCUUGGGCCGCCUUAGCCCGCCUUGACACUCGUAGACCCGCCUAAGGCCGCCUUGACCAUCUUAGGGCCACCAAGUGGUCGCCAUGACCCGCCUUGGAUCGCCUUGGGCCGUCUUGACCCUCAUAGUUCCGCCAAUAGGGCACUUUAACUCAUUUAGGGCCACCAAGAGGUCGCUUUGACCCGACUAAGGCCACUAAGGAGCCGCCUUGACCCGCCUUGACACGACUAGGGCAACCAAAGGCCGCCUUGAAAAGCCUUUACCCACCUUGGGUCGCCUAGAUCCUCCUAGGGCCGCCAAGACGCCUCCUUGACCCCGCUAGGGCCGUCACGAGGCGGCUUUCACCCGUCUAAAGCCACCAAUAGGCUGCCUUAACCCUCCUAGGCGCGCCUCGGGUAGCCAUGGGGCCGCCAAGUGGCUGCCUUGACUAGCCUUGAUCCGCCUUGACCCGCCAUUGGCCGCCAUGACCCGCCUAAACCGGCCUUGGGCCGCCUUAACCCGCCAUGGACCACCUUAACCAUCCUUGGAUCACCUUGGACCGCCUUGACCCGCCAAGAGCCGCCUUGAAAUGCCUUGACCCGCCUUAGGCCGCCUUGACCCUCCUAAGACCGCCAAAGGGCCGCUUUUACCCUCUUAAAGCCACCAAUAGGCUGCCUUGACCCAUCUAGGGUCACCAAGGAGUCGCCUUGACCCGGCUAGGGCCGUCCUAGGCUCGCCUAGGGUAGCUAAGCGGCCGCCUUGGACCGCCUUGACCCGCAUUGUAAUACCCUGUACUUAAAAGGGUUACUGUUUGGGGUUAUGAAUUUCCGUGGAUUUUCUUUAUUCGCGCUUAGAGAUUUAAAUAGUGAUUGCUCGAGUUUGUUUUCGAGUUUUUCUGAAAACGGUUAAUGGUGGAUUUAAAACUCCGAAGUCAUGGUACGCGUUUAUACGAGCUCACCGGUAUGCUCGGAUUAUUUUUUGGAGCAACGAGUUAUGUUCUGUGAAUUUAUGAAGUUUACAGUAAAUUUUCAAUUAUUGUUUCUUGUAACCGUUUUACCGUAAAGGACCCAAAAAGUUGACUUUUCGUUAAGUCGAUAAUUUGGGAAAACUUCUUUCAUGAAAGUCGUAGAGGACGUCAAUACAAGUUCGUGGACACAUGACACGCUCAAAUCGAAGAAAGUUAUGGUCUAAAAAAAAAAGGACGUAGAUAUUUUUGGAAGAAAAAGAGAAGGGUCGAGAAUCUGGAGGAAAGGAUGAAGAGAGAAAAGGAAAGGAAGGUUUGGGAGAGAGGGAGACGGGAUCAAAAAGGAGUUUAGACCCAGACUGGGUCAUCCUUGACCCGAACAGAGUUAACGGGUCAACCCGACGUUUUCUUCGUCCUCCGGCGACGGCGUGGUGGAAGAUUGGUGGCGAUGGCUUCAUCUCGUCCUUCCCGACCUUCCUGUGAUUCCAGUUUGAAGAGUGGAGCUCUGGAGAAGAAGAAUCGAAGAAGGAGAAGAGAGACUGUGUUCGCCGGCGAGUCUCCGAUUCCGACAGCGUCGACGCCUCUCACUGGUAUGGAUAGCUUCAUCUCGAUCUCAGAAACCUUUCCAUGUUCCUGGUUUUCGAAGAAAAGCUUGGAGGAGGGAGAACCGAAUAAAAGAAGUUCUGGGAUUUUUCUGGUGAGGGUUCGAUGUUUUCCGGUGACCUCCGAGUUCGACUCAGGUAUCAAAGUUGAUCUUCUCUUCGAGCUUUAUCUCUGUAUAUACAUGGAAUUGAGAUUGGUUGAGUUUUGUUGAAUUUGAAUUUGGGUAGUGUUGGCCGUGCGUGGGUGAUGCUGUGUACGGCGGCGGUAGGUGGUUGUUCUGGUAGUUUCUAGUUUUGUUAGUAUUCUGAUUUUAAAGGAGUAGGUUGAGAUGCUUGAAUUCAAUAUUGGUAGAAUUUUGGAGAUUGUGAGAUUUUGGGCAGUGUGUGCGGCUGUUGUACUCGACGACGGCGAUAGUGGUGGUUGAGUAUUUCUGGGUUCUGGUGAGCUUGGCAGUAGCAGUAGAAUCCAAUUGUGUUGCUUGAAUUGUAGAAAGGAGGAAGUUAGGUGAUGGAGAAAUGGCUAUGUGUGUUCUAUUAAUAUGAGACAUCAUUUUACUUGUAUUGCUUUGAUUCAUGCAGUAAAGUUGUCGUACUGUAGGUUUAUUUCUAUGACCUUUGGGAAGGUUGGACGUGCAUUUGGAGUUUGAUUGAAACAUUGAGUCUUUUAGUUUGAGAUAUAGAAGUAUGAGGGUUUGAAAGCGAGAAAAAAAAAUGAUAGUCUUGGGUGUUGAGAGUAAAUUAGGAUGUUGGUUGGUUUAAGAAAUAGAAGGAGAUUAGAAAUCGACAACUCGUCGGUCAUGGCUGUUGUUAGAGACGAAAAGGUAAACUUGACGUCACCUAUGGUUACUAAAUUUCAAUUUUGAACAGUGACUGUGAUUAUGGAUUAUGAGUACUGUUGGGCUAAUGUUGGUGUUGAGUUUGACCUUGUUUUGAAAAGGUGAUUGAUAUUGAUAAUUAUGGAUUUUGUUUGCUAUUCAAAUUGUGCCUAUGCAUUGAAGUGGAUAUUGGAGUGUAUGUAUGGAUUUGGGAUUGGUUUUAGUCGAAAUGGGUGUCCAUAGUAAAUCUAAGUUAGAAUGUUUGGUAAAUUUGGGUUCAAAGUGAAAGAAUGCAGGUUUGAUGAUUGGCAUAAGUUGAGUUUUAUAUUAUUCUAACAAAAUUUUGAUUGGGUAUAUAUAUAUAUGUGUGUGUGUGUGUGUGUGCGCAUACAUAUACACACUCUUUGGCACUUGAGUAGGUUGUUUUGUGAGUUAAGUGUAGGGUUUGGUUAAGUUGAUGAGUUUAAUUAUUCUCCUGGAACUUUAUAUUGGAAUUAGAAUAAAUUGAUAUAGUUUUGAUGAUGCAUGAGGCUUUGUAUGGCCGGGUUGAUUUGAUUUAAUGGGUAUAGAAGAAAACAUUUUAAAUUGGUUUGUAUCAUGAAAUGGUUUUUAUGAGUCCGUAAGUAUGGUUUUGAUUUUGGACUUGUGGUGGUAAAUGAGAUGUUGUUAGUGAAGGUAGAAAAGUAGAAUAAAAUGUUGAACUACUAGUGGCUUGAUCCCUUUAAAAAGGUACGUAGGCAGCCCGAUCAAGUUUUGGGUCCAGCCGCAAAUAACCAAAACAAAUAGGCUGCCAAGAGGCCGCUUUCACCCGUCUAAAGCCACCAAUAGGCCGCCUUGACCCUCCUAAGCUCGCCUCAGGUAGCCAUGGGGCCGCCUUGACUAGCCUUGAUCCGCCUUGACCCGCCAUGACCCUCCUAAACCCGCCUUGAGCCGCCUUAACCAGCCUUGGAUCACCUUGGACCGCCUUGACCCACCAAGAGCAGCCUUGAAACGCCUUGUCCCGCCUUAAGCCACCUUGACCCUCCUAAGACCGCCAAAGGGCCGCUUUCACCCUCUUAAAGCCACCAAUAAGCUGCCUUAACCCAUCUAGGGUCACCAAGGAGUCGCCUUGACCCGGCUAGGGCCACCUUAACCCGCCUUGGGCUGCCUUAACCCUACAAGGCCGUCCUAGGCUCGCCUAGAGUAGCCAAGGGGUCACCUUGACACUCCUAGACCCGCCUUGGAUCGCCUUGGGCUGCCAAUAGGGCACCUUGACCCAUCCAGAGCCACCAAAAGGUCGCUUUGACCCAACUAGGGCCGCUAAGGAGCCACCUUAACCCACCUUGGGCCGCCUUGACACGCCUAGGGCAACCAAGGGCCGCCUUGAAAAGCCUUUACCCGCCUUGGGUCGCCGAGACCUUCCUAAGGCCGCCAAGAGGCCGCUUUUACCCUGCUACGGCCGCAAAGAGGCGGCUUUCACCUGUCUAAAGCCACCAAUAGGCCGCCUUGACCCUCCUAAGCUAGCCUCGAGUAGCCAUGGGGUCGCCAAGCGGUUGCCUUGACUAGCCUUGAUCCGCCUUAACCCGCCAUUAGCCGCCAUGACCCGUCUAAACCCGCCUUGGGCCGCCUUAACCAGCCUUGGAUCGCCUUGGACCGCCUUGACCCGCCAAGAGCAGCCUUGAAACGCCUUGACCCGCCUUCACCCUCCUAAGACCGCCAAGGGGCCGCUUUCACCCUCAUAAAGCCACCAAUAGGUUGCCUUGACCAAUCUAGGGUCACCAAGGAGUCACCUUGACCCGGCUAGGGCCGUCUUAACCCGCCUUAGGCUGCCUUGACCCUACAAGGCCGUCCUAGGCUCGCCUAGGGUAGCCAAGCGGCCGCCUUGACCCGCCUUAGACCGCCUUGUCCCGUCUUGGGCCGCAUUGACCCUCAUAAGGCUGUCAAUAAGGCGCCUUGACCCAUCUAGGGCCACCAAGGGGUCGCCUUAACCCGGCUAGGGCCACCAAGGAGCCGUCUUGACCCGCCCUGGGCAGCCUUGGACCGCCUUGACCCGCCAAGAGCUGCCUUGACCCUCCUAAGACCGCCAAGGGGCCGCUUUCACCCUUUUAAAGCCACCAAUAGGCUGUCUUGACCCUCCUAGACCCACCUAGGGCAGCCUUGACCCGUGUAGGGCCACCUUGACCCUCCUAGGCUCUCCUCAGGUAGCCAAGGUGCCACCUUGACCUGCCUAGGGCCGCCAAGCGGCUGCCAUGAUUAGCCUUGACCCGCCUUGACUCGCCAUGAGCCGCCUUAACCCACCUUGGGCCGCCUUGGACCGCCUUAACCCGCCUUGAAUCACCUUGACCCGCUUUGACACUCCUAGACCCGCCUAAGGCCGCCUUGACCCUCCUAGACCCUCCUAGGGCCACGAAGAGGCCGCCAUUACUUGCCAAGAGGUCGCAAUGACCCUCCUAGGCCCCACCUUAACCCUCAUAGGACCGCCAAUAAGGCACCUUGACCCAUCUAAGGCCACCAAGAGGUCGCUUUGACCCGACUAGGGCCGCCAAAGAACCGCCUUGGGCCGCCUUAACACGCCUAGGGCAACCAAGGGCUGCCUUGAAAAGCCUUUACCCACCUUGGGUCUCAUUGACCCUCCUAGGGCCACCAAGAGACCGCCUUGACCCCGCUUUCACCCGUCUAAAGCCACCAAUAGGCCGCCUUAACCCUCCUAAGGCAGCCUUGACCCGUGUAGGGCCGCCUUCACCCGCCUUGCAUCGCCUUGACCCUCAUAGGGCCGCUAAUAGGGCGCCUUGACCCAUCUAGGGCCACCAAGGAGUCGCCUUGACCCGCCUUGACCCUCCAAGAGCCGCUUUGAAACGCCUUGACCCACCUUAGGCCGCAUUGACCCUCCUAAGACCGCCAAGGGGCCGCUUUCACCCUCUUAAAGCCACCAAUAGGCUGCCUUGACCCAUCUAGGGUCACCAAGGAGUCGUCUUAACCUUGUCUUGGGCUGCCUUGACCCUACAAGGCCGUCCUAGGCUCGCUUAGGGUAGCCAAGCGGCCGCCUUGACCCGCCUUGAACCGCCUUUGACCGCCUUUGACCGUCUUGGACCGCCUUACCCGUCUUGACCCAUCUAAGGCCACCAAAAGGUCGCCUUAACCCGGCUAGGGCCGCCUUGACCCACCAUGGGCUGCCUCGACCCUACAAGGCCGUCCUAGGCUCUCCUAGGGUAGCCAAGCGGCUUCCUUGACCUGCCUUGGACAGCCUUGACCCAUCUUGACCCGCCUUUUACCGUCUUGGACCGCCUUGGGCCGCCUUUGACCACCUUGACCCGCCUUAACCCGCCUUGGGCCGCAUUGACCCUCAUAAGGCCACCAAUAGGGCGCCUUGACCCAUCUAGGGCCACCAAAAGGUCGCCUUGACCCGGCUUAGGCCGCCAAGGAGCCGUCUGGGCCGCCUUGGACCGCCAAGAACCGCAUUGAAACGCGUUGACACGCCUUAGGCCGCCUUGACCCUCCUUGACCCGUGUAGGGCCGCCUUGACCCUCCUAGGCUCCCCUCGGGUAGCUAAGGUGCCACCUUGACCUUCCUAGGGCGGCCAAGCGGCUGCCAUGAUUAGCCUUGACUCGUCAUGGGCCGCCUUUACCCGCCUAAACCCGCCUUGACCCGCCUUGAAAGUCGUAGACCCGCCUAAGGCCACCUUAACCCUCUUAGGCCCUCCUAGGGCCACCAAGGGGCCGCCAAGGGGUCGCCAUGACCCGCCUUGACACCCCUAGACUCGCCUUGGAUCUCCUUUGGCCGCCUUGACCCUCAUGGUUCCGCCAAUAGGGCACCUUAACCCAUCUAGGGCCACCAAGAGGUCACUUUGACCCGACUAGGGCCGCUAAGGAGCCGCCUUGGGCCGCCUUGACACGCCUAGGGCAACCAAGGGCCGCCUUGAAAAGCCUUUACCCGCCUUGGGUGGCCUAGACCCUCCUAGGGCCGCCAAGAGGCCGCCUUGACCCCACUAGGGCCGCCAAGAGGCGGCUUUCACCCGUCUAAAGUCACCAAUAGGCCGCCUUGACCCUCCUAGGCUCUCCUCGGGUAGCCAUGGGGCCGCCAAGCGGCUGCCUUAACUAACCUUGAUCCGCCUUGACCCGCCAUUGGCCGCCAUGACCCGCCUAAACCCACCUUGGGCCGCCUUAACCCGCCUUGGAUCGCCUUGGACCGCCUUCAACCGCUUUUACCCUCUUAGACCCGCCUAAGGGCCGCCAUCACUCUCCUAGGCCCGUGUAAGGCCGCCUUGACCCGCCUGGGGCUGCCUUAACCCUACAAGGUCGUCCUAGGCUCGCCUAGGGUAGCCAAGUGUCCGCCUUGACCCGCCUUGAGCCGCCUUAACUCGCUUGCGCUGCCUUGACCUGCUUUGCACCGCCUUGACCCUCAUAGGGCCGCCAAUUGGGCGCCUUGACCCAUCUAGGGCCACCAAGGGGUCGCCUUGACCCGGCUAGGGCCGUUUUAACCAGCCUUGGGCUGCCUUGGCCCUACAAGGCCGUCCUAGGCUCGCCUAGGGUAGCCAAGCAGCCGCCUUAACCUGCCUUGGACGGCCUUGACCCGCCUUAACCCGUCUUGGACCGCCUUGACCCUCUUUGACCCCCUUGGGACGCCUUUGACCGCCUUGACCGCCUUACCCGCCUUCAACCGCCUUGACCCUCCUAGACCCACCCAAGGCCGCCUUGACCCUCCUUGGCCCUCCUAGGGCCACCAAAGGGCCGCCAUGACUCGCUAAGGGGUAGCCAUGACCCUCCUAAUCCCAUGUAGGGCUGCCUGGACCCGCCUUGGGCUGUCUUGUCCCUACAAGGCCGUCCUAGGCUUGCCUAGGGUACACAAAUGGCUGCCUUGACCCGCCUUGGGCCGCCUUGGACCGCCUUUACCCGCCUUGCGCCAUUUUGACCCUCAUAGGCCCUCCAAUAUGGCGCCUUGACCCAACUAAGGCCACCAAUGAGUUGCCUUGACCCUGCUAGGGCCGCUAAAGGGCCGCCUUGACCCGCCUUGACACGCCUAGGGCCUUGACCGCCUAGGGCCGCCAUGAAACGCCUUUACCCGCCCUGACCCACCUUGGGCCGCCUUGACCAUCCUAGGGUCGUCAACAUGCCGCAUUGACCCCGCUAUGGCCGCUUUCACCCGUCUAAGGCCGCCAAUGGGCCGCCUUGACCUUUCUAGACCCGCCUAAGGCAGCCUUGACCUGUGUAGGGCCGCCUUGACCCUCCUAGGCUCGCCUUGGGUAGCCAAGGGGCCGCCUUGACCUGCCUAGGGCCGCUAAGCUAAAUGGCUGCCUUGACCAGCCUUGACCCGCCAUGGACCGUCUUGGACCGCAUUAACCCGCCUUAGACUGCCUUAACACGUCUUAACCCGUCUUGACCCGCCUUAGCCUACCUUGAACCGCCUUGACCCGCCUUGCGCCACCUUGACCCUCAUAGGGCCGCCAAUAGGGCGCCUUGACCCAUCUAGGGCCACCAAGUGACCGCUUUGACCCGCCUUAGCCUGCUUUGACCCGCUUUAACCCGCCUUGAGCCGCCUUAACCCUCAUGGGGUCGCCAAUAGGGCGCCUUAACCCGCCUAAGACCGUCUUGACCUGCCUAGGGCCACCAAGCGGCCGCCUUGACCCACCUAGAGUCGCCUUGACUCGCAUUGGUCCUCCUUGACCCUUCUAGGGCCGCCAAAAGGCCGUCUUGACCCGUGUAGGGCCACCAAGGGGCCGCGUUCACCGGUCUAAGUCCACCGAGGGGCCGCCAUGACUCGCCAACGUGUCGCCAUGACCCUCUUAAGCCCAUGUAGGGCCGCCUUGACCAACCUUGGGCCGUCUUGACCCUUAUAGGCUCGCCUAGGGUAGCCAAAGGGCCGCCUUGACCUGCCUACCUGCCUAGGGCCGCCAAGAUGCCACCUUGACCCGUCUAAGGCCACCAAGGGGCACGAGCUGACGACAGCCAUGCACCACCUUUGUCCGCGUGCCUUGACCGGGCCUAGGGCCGCCAAUCGGUCGCCUUGACCCGCCUAGGACCCGUCUUAACCCGCCUCGGGUUGCCUUGACCCUCCUAAGGCCACCAAAANNNNNNNNNNNNNNNNNNNNUGACCCGUGUAGGCCUUGACCCUCGUUGACUUGCCUAGGGCCGCCUUGACCCUCGUAGGUCGUCCUAAGCUCGCCUAGGGCCACCAAGGGGCCGUCAUGACCCUCCUAGGCCCGUCUAUGGCUGCCGUGACCCUCGUAGGCUCGCCUAGGGUAGCUAAGGGGCCGCCUUGACCUGCCUAGGGCCGAGCCGUCGCCUUAACCCGCUUUGGACCACCUUAACCCGCCUUGGUCGCCAUGACCCUCCCAGGCCCGUGUAGGGCCGACCAGAUCCUCCUAGGCCCUCCUAGGCUUUCUUAGGGUAGCCAAAAGUCUGCCUUGACUCGUUUAGGGCCGCCAAGGGGCAGCCUUGACCUGCCUAGGGCCGCUAAGCUGCCGCCUUAACCAGUCUUGGGCCGCCUUUACCCGCCUUGUCCCGGCUUGACCUGCCUAGAGCUGCCAAGCAGCCGCCUAGAGUCGUCUUGACCCGAAUUGGCCCACCUUGACCCACCUUGGGCCGCCAAAAGGCCGGCUUGACCCGUGUAGGGCCAUUAAGGGGCCGCGUUCACCCGUCUAAGGCCACCAAGGGGCCGCCUUGACCCUCUAUGGCUCGCCUAGGGCCACCAAGGGGCCGUCAUGACCCUCCUAAGCACGCGUAGGGCCGCCUUGACCAACCUUGGGCUGCCUUGACCCUCUUAGGGUAGCCAAGGGGCCGUCUUGACCUGCCUAGCCGCCUUGAUCGCUAUGACCCUCCCAGGCCCGUGUAGGGCCACCUUGACCUGUGUAGGGCCGCCUUGACCCUCCUAGGCUCUCCUAGGGCCGCCAAGAGGCCGCCUUGACCCCGCGAGGGCCACCAAGGGGCCGCAUUGACCCCGCUAGGGCCGCCAUGGGGCUGCGUUCACUCAUCUAAGGCCACCAAGGGGUCGCCUUGACCCGCCAAGGGGCUGCCUUGACCCUUAUUGACCCGCCUACGGCCUUGACCCUCCUAGGCCGUCUUAGGCUCGCCUAAGGCCACCAAGGGCCGCCAUGACCCUCCUUGGUCCGUGUAGGGCCGUCGUGACCCGUGUAGGCCCGCCUUGACCCUCCUAGGCUCACCUAGGGUAGCCAAAUGGCCACCUUGACCCGCCUUGACCCGCCUUGGGCCGCCUUAACCCUCCUAGGGCUGCUAAGAGGCCACCUUGAGCCCGCUAGGGCCGCCAAGAGUCCGCCUUGAUCCUCCUAGACCCGCCUAGGGCAGCCUUGACACCCCUUAGUUUGCUUUGACCCUCCUAGGCCCUCAUAGACUCGCCGCGGGUAGCCAAGGGGCUGCCUUGACCUGCCUAGGGCCGCCAAGCGGUCGGCUUAACCCGCCUUGGACCACCUUGACCCGCCUUAACCUGCCUUAACCCGUUUUGGGCGGCCUUGGUCACCAUGACCCUCCCAGGCCCGUCUAGGGUCGCCUUAACCCGUGUAGGGCCGCCUUGACCCUCCUAGGCUCGCUUAGGGUAGCCAAAGGGCCCGCCUAAAACCCGCCUAGGGCUGCCUAAACCCGCCUAAGGCCGCCUAGAUAGGCUUAGGGCCGCCAAGCAGCCGGCUUGACCCACCUUGGACCGCCUUAACCCGCCUUGGGCCGCCUUGGUCACCAUGACCCUCCCAAGCCCAUGUAGGGCCGCCUGGACCGUGUAGGGCCGCCUAGACCUUGUAGGACCGCCUUGACCCUCCUGGGCCCUCCUAGGCUCACUUAGGGUAGCCACUUGACUCGCCUAGGGCCGCCAAGGGGCCGCCUUGACCUGCCUAGGGCCGCCAAGAGACCGCUUUGACCUGUCUAGAGCCGCAAAGUGGCCAUCUUGACCCGUCUAGAGCCGCCUUAACCUGCAUUGGCCCGCCUUGACCCUCCUAGGGCCACCAAGAGGCCGCCUUAACCAGUCUAGAGCCACCAAGGGGCCGCCUUGACCCCGCUAGAGCAGCCAAGAGGCCGCGUUCACCCGUCUAAGGCCACCAAGGGGCCGUAUUGACCCGCCAAGGGGCUGCCUUGACCCUCCUAGGCCGUCAUAGGCUCGCCUAGGGCCACCAAUGGGACGCCAUGACUUGCCCUAACCCUCCUAGGCCCGUGUAGGGCCGCCUUAACCCGUGUAGGGUAGCCUUGACCCGCCUUGACCCUCCUAGGCUCGCCUAGGGUAGCCAAAGGGUCGCCUUGACCCGCCUAGGGCCGCAAAGGGGCAGCCUUGACCUGCAAGUGACCGCCUUAACCCGCCUUGGCCCGCCUUGACCCUCCUAAGGCCGCCUUGACCCAUCUAGGGCCACCAAGAGGCCCCUAGGCGGUCCUAAGCGGCCUUGAGGCAGGUCCAAACGGGUUAAGGCAGCCUAUGUGCGGAUCUGGGUUGCCCUUAUGUUGGUCAAGGUGACCCCAAGUAAGCCCUAGGCGCGUCUCGGCGGCCCCUUAGCGGAUCUAGGCGGACCCUAAGUGGGUCCGAGCGGUCCCUAUGUGGUAUAGGAGGGUCUAGGCGGCCCUUAGGUGGAUAGGAGGCCCCUAAGUGGUAUAGGCGGGUCUAGGCGGCCUUGAAGCGGGUCUAAGCGGGUUAAGGCGGCCUCUAGGUGGGUCUAGGCGGUUCCAAUAAGAAAGUCUAUGCAGGUCAAAGCGGAUCUUGGGUGCCUCGAGGCAUGUCCAAGAAUGUCUAUGCGGGUCAAAGCGGGUCUAGGCGAGUCUAGGUGACCUCUAUGCGGGUCUACGCGGCAUAUGGGCAUUUCUAUUAGUAAUUAAUGAUAAAUAAGUAUUUCUUAAACUAAAAAAACUCGAAAACCUCAAUCGUAUUAGUGUAUACGAUUUUCGUUUGAUUUAUUCAAAAUCACUUACUAUAUUACACGAAUUUUUCCAACAAAAUUGAAUGUUCUUAUUUUUCAACCAAACAUUUCCUAUUAUGAAAUGAUGAUAAAUAAGUACUUCUCAAAUUGACUAAACUAGAAAAUCUCUAUUGGAUUAGUGUAUACGUGUUUUGUUUGAUUUUAGUUAAAAUCGCUUGCUAUAGCACACGAUUUUUCCGUCAAAAUUGAAUAUUAAUAUUUUUCAACCAAACAUUUCCUGUUAUCAAAUAAUGAUAAAUAAGUACUUCUCAAAUUAACAAAACUCGAAAAUCUCAAUCGGAUUAGUAUAUACGAGUUUUGCUUGAUUUCAAUUAAAAUCUUUUCCUAUAACACACGAUUUUUUCGUUAAAAUGAAACUCUGAUUUUUAGCUGUAUGUGACAAGCAAGGAUGAAACAAUGGUUGUAUUUAUAGGCCUAUUUCAGGAUAUGUCCACCAAACACGCGGAAAGCAUGCGGCAACGGGCAAUCAAUCAAAAAUUGCUUAGCUCACAUGAAGAAAUUGUGUGGAUCACACUUGCAAACCAUGCAAGUUGGAAAAUAAAAGAGAUGGAAUCAAUCAGCAUUUAUGAAUUUCUGAAUUUGGCUUUACAAAUUUUUUAACUUGAGUUGUAGACAACAGAGGUUUGAGCUCUAACGAGAGCUAUAACAAGUGACCAAGCACUGAAUAUCACUAUUCAUCUCUAUCCCUGCAGACAAUACUUGUAAACACAGGAAAGCAUUUAAAGUAGUCUUCAUCAUAGUGAAGCAUACAAUGCAGAAGAUGAAUAUUUUCUAGUUUUUACCAAAGAAAAAACAAUACUUUCCGCCUUUCCGGUUGUCAUGUAUUCUUCAAAAUGCCCUCUAUAAUCCCAUCAGUCUUAGAAGAGAGGAAAACAUGUAUAGCAUAGCAGGGAGGGAACUGAUAUGCUCUAAGUAAUUGGAAGCCCUUCUAGUGAGGACCCUUAAGUUGAGGACUUAGUGAGGAGUUUCGGCUUAUCCCAUCUUUCGAGCUUAUAUCCACAUCUUGACCGUUCAGUUUAUAGGUAUUUAUGAGUAGAUCAUUUCAUCAAAUUUUCAGCUAUAUUGAAAAUUGUUAAGGCAUUCAUAAGUGUGAUUUAUCAAUUAUGAACUUGAACGGUUCAUAUUUGAUAGAUUUGGUUCGUCCAUUAAUUUGAUCUACUUUGUUAUCUAAAUGAACACAAAUUUGGGUGAAAAUUUGUAGAAAUGAUCUACUCAUAUAAACCUAAAAACUGAACGGAUGAGAUGUCAAAAUAUGAUAGAAAAUUGGGUCUUUUAAACCAUAAACCGAAAAGUCCUCACCAAAUCCUCAACUUAAGGGGCCUCACUAGAAGGGCUCCCCUAAGUAAUUAUGCAGAGAGAGGAGCUAGAGUGCACCAAAGACAUAUAUAAGAAACAUGGCAGACCACCAAAAACAAUGUCCUCAAUGAGCUUAACAUCAUUCCUGCAGUUGUUGGAAAAUAUAAAUAUAGUGACUCUGAACUAAAUCUACACGUUACAGACAUCCUAGAAAGAGAAAAAACUAAUUGAAAAGAUGAACAAAUUAAACGUACCUGUAAUCCCUCUUCAAUCUCAGAGUUGGGAUCGUCUUGGUGUUUGAUAAAAUCGUCUGAAAAGCUUCUCGUUAGUCUCCGAAUAUCAGAGGGAUUCACUUGCUAGAAAAUAGUCACCACUAUCUGCUUCUUCCCAUCCAUGCAAUGCAAAAUUUUGACUAGUUCUUUUAAGCACCACAACCAAAUGUCUCGACUCUUGAGUCUCAUUGAGGAUCUCCUAAAUGUCAUUGCCUAGUAUGAGCUCUGUUGAGUCUAUGAAAGCGUCAAUUGCUUUCUGUUUCAAAGCUUUGUAAAGAUGGCUGACAAAAAACUUGCGUUUUUCCUCGGCCCUAGAGUUCAGAAAGACAUCAUGUUUCCAGGGAUGGCCUGGCAAUGGAAAAGAUGAAGCCAUCCAACGACAAGCACUACUGUAAUACCAGGGGAAACUAAAUGAAGAAACUUUGGAUUACUCAAGGUAAUUCUUCCUGGUUGACAAUCCUUGACUGCAGGCCAAGCAAGAAUGUCGACAGACCUUUGGCAAAGAGUACGUGUUCAACUGACAAUUCAAAAUGGCCCAUAUGAUGAUCACCAUUAUCAGAGCAAUGAGCAUCCGUUGACCUCCAUUAGACUCUUCCGCAAUAGUAUUACACCUCGUGGCAACUUUUGUUGCCUUCUCUUUUCCCACAGUGAAACCAGCGUAUGGAGUCUUCUGAGUUCUGAGUAAUGAGUAACUGUGAGUUAGGAUACAAAUUUGCCGACCAUCUUUAUUUGUCCACCAAAUGAGUUAAGCCAACACUCAUGUAAUAUUUGACCAAACCCUCUUCUUCUUUCUGUAAUCUUAUAUGACGUAGAUUACAGUGAGUUUUGAUGUAAUAAUUGUAAUCUUUACCAUUCACAGAGUUAACAAAAGCCAUCAAGUUAAAAGGAAAAUGGUAGAGGGUAUAGAUGAAAGAACAGUAAGAUAACAAACCAACAACAGUCAAACAAACAAACAAAAGCAAAACACAGAAAGCCCACUUUUCAAAAGAUUUAAACAAAUAAAGACAAAAGUCCAGACUCAAGAUUAAUAGUACCACAUGUUCACUACAAUAUUCAUUGUAAAAUGACCAAAAUGUCCAAUUUACAAACAGAAUUACACACGUUGCGACCUUUCUCUUUCCCUUAAAGAUUCAAUCUGACCUCUCUCUCUCUCUCUCUCUCUCUCUCUCUCUCUCUCUCUCUCUCUCUCUCUCUCUCUCUCUCUCUCUCUCUCAUCUAAAACCGUCAUCGUCGCGUCACGGGGGCUCCGGUGGGUAGGUCGAUGACUCAGCACGAUUUUCACAUAACCAACGGUAAUAAAAACACUACCCAAUCUCUCAUCCACUAGUUUCAGAUUUUCAAAAAAACCCACAUCAUAUUCAUCUGCAACUGCAAAUUGAAUGAGAAACCCAGGUUAAACACUGAAAAGACUGCAAUAGCAGCAAGAUCUAACCAUCAUGACAACAGUAGCAGCAAGAUCUGACCGUCAUGAGAGCAGUAGCAGCAAGCUCUGACAAUAUACAGUAGCAGCAAGAUCUGACAAUAUACAAUAGCAGCAAGAUUUGACCAUAUACAGCGACAGGAAGAUCUAACCGUCACAGUAGCAGCAAGACUUGACCAUAUACAGUAGCAGUAAGACCUAACAAUAUACAGUAGCAGCAAGAUUUGACCGUAAUGACAAUAUAUAGUAGCACCAAGACAUAACCAUACACAGUAGCAGCAAUGUCAGACUGUCAUGACAAUAUACAGUAGCAGCAAGACCUGAACAUAGGUCUCGGCAGAACUAGAGGAUUGCCGAAGCAUACUUGUGAUACUACUAGGAUGUUAUCCCCUGUUACUACUUCUACUAGGAUGUUAACCCCUGCUGCUACUUCUACUGGAAUUAACUGUUAUUACACUAAGUUAUUGAAAACCUGCUACUACUGUAUUCCAUUUAUUGAAAAAUCUCAAAAUGAGAGACUUUUCUAAAAACAUAUUUAAUUAGUAUAGGGUUAGUUUGGUAAAUUAAACCAUGACACAUGACAUGUAAAGAAAAGAUUGUUAAAAACUGUCCUUAUUUGUUUAACAACACAAGUGGAUUUAUUUGUGUUUCAAAUUCUUUUGGAUGAUAUAUAUAUGAUUUGCUAUAAGAAAGAAUGGAAAAAGGGUUACAUUAGAAACUUAUUUGAGACCAAUCCACACAGUUGUGAUCUCAACUAAAGUCAUGAGGGGAAUCACCAAAUGUGAUCUGCAACUUGAUCAACAUAAAUUUUCCACAAGAAAAGGAGGGCAAAAAGACAUCAAAGCUUAAUAACACAAGUCAUCAACAACCGAAAUAUUGAAAGAAUAGUUAACUCCAUUACAACAGGUUGAAAAACUCCGAUAAAAACUAGCUAGAACAGGGAAAAUGAUAUCUACGCUAGCGAUAACCAUUUUCUUUUAAACUAAACGAGAGACAACAUAUCAGUUCAAAGACUGUAUUGUCAAUUUGUCUGCAACUUGUUAACAAGUUGCAUUAUAAUUACAAAACCAGAGUAUCCCUUAAAACAUUGAUUUCUCGGCUUUCAGUCACAAGCCGGGUAAAUUAAAGAUAGGAAGCAUAAGUAACUUACACUUCCUUCACAUCCAUGCUGCAGCCACUAAUGAUCAGAUGGUGAUUGCUGCUGCUGCUGUUGCUGCUGAUCUGGUGCCUGCGACCACAUUUGAGGACCCAUGUAGGGGUGAGACUGUUGCCCAUACAUAGAUGGGUCCAUCAUAGGCUUGCCCAUGAUCAUCCCAGGAGCCCCAACCUGAGGUCCAUGCUGAGGUGGCAUAUAGCAGUAUGGAGGAAGUGCAUCAGCAGCCCCAACAGAAACCGUUCCCCUUGGAAUGGAUGCAAGGACUUCGUCUUUCAGAUCCUCUCUCGGCACGAUGUCUACCAAGAAAUCAAAUAUAUCAGUCCUUGUGAUUGCAGCUGCAAUGUCAUUCUUCUGAAGUGUCCUCCUUUUAUUCUCUUCUGUGUGAUUCCAAGACCGCAAGGUCAACUCCAAGAUGAACAUUUCACAUGCCCUUGCAAAGAUCACAGGUGCCUCAGCUGAUAUCAUUCUCACAUCCUCGUCAGCUUUCAUGAUCUUCUUGAUCCUUGCUAGAGGAAGGCUAUGGUUCUUGAAAUCAGUUACCUUCUCAAUCUCUUGAAACUGACCCGCCCAAAAAUUUUGCAAUUGUUGUUGAAGUUGUUGCUGCUGCUGCUGGUGAAUGUGCUGAUAAGCAAGCUGAUGUUGUGCAAGCUGAGCUCCGGCAGAUUGAUUACUAGCUUGAAUGCCUCCAACUGGUGCACCAACUGUUGCAGGAUUCGGACUCCCUACCAUUUGAGUAUGCUGAUACGGAGCAGUCCCAUAUGCCAUUUGAGCUCCACUACCUACCAUCCCCAUCGAUUGGGGUUGCCCAUGUCCUUGCUGAUCCAUCCAGUUCCUGAUUGAAGUAAAUAACAAGAAAGAUAUGCUUUAGAAACCUACUAAUACUCCUCAAAAAUCAAAGGAUCUCCUUUUUACACAAAUACAUAAAUAACAGUAAGAGCUUGUAGCCAAAAGCAGGGUUCAGAUCCCUCUUAUGACCAAAACCAAACAAAAUCAAAUAUGAACAUUCAUUUUGAAUUACUUCUUGUUCAUUCUUUGUUCUUUUUCUUCUUUAGAUGAUCAAAGAACAGUGAUUUACAAAAAUAUCACAUCUGAUGCAUCAAAUAGACAAGUGUUGGGCAGAGUAGGCAGACUCUUCCGGCAGCCAAACUCAUCAAUUCAUUAAACUUAUCUAAAUGCUAUCUCUUAUAACCAAACAUCUUCAGCAAACCAACUAGAUUUACAUCCCAUCAUCCUGUCAUAUAGGACUAAAAUCUGCCUAACAAAACAAAAUACUUUUUGCUCUACUGUAAAAAUUACUCCACCACCCAGAAACAUCUAAACCCGCAAAGGAUGGAAAGCAAGCUGAAACAGUAAAACACACAAAAAAGGGUCCUAUGUUCAAUAUCAAAACCACUGAUGUACAAUCAUGCAAAACAGAAUCAAACCCGCUAGCAAAACCAGAAUUUGAUCUUACAUAUUACAAAUAUCCAGAACCAAAAUGUUACAUAGAAACAAACCAAAGAUCACCCAUUUAGCAAAUCCAAAACACACAAAAACAUAUAAGAACAGAGAUAUAUACCAACUGUGUAAAUUUUGGGUACCUUGUUCACAAAACAGAUGAUGCUGCUACGUAAAUCGAUUUAGCACCUGAAAAAAGAAACAAAAUUCUCUCAGAAACCAAAAAAAAGACUUCAAAGAAAUAUUCUCCUGGGCAUCAAAAAGACUGAAACUUUCAUUGUUUUUUAUUCUAUUCUGGGAAAUUUUCGGUGAAGAAAAAGAUCCAAUCUUUUGCAGAAUUUUGGGUCUGCAACACAAACCUGGGUCUCUUUUGUUCUUGUGUUUCUCGUAAUGAUUAAUGUUGGCAAAUACAAACCUAAAAGGAGCAACAAAACUGCGACGACACAGUUCGAUUCUGACUCUUAACAUGUCAGAUGCUUCGACUUUUAUGGAACGAGAGUUUUUCGUUCUGACGGUUUUGCCCUUCGUGGAAAUUGACAUUUGCCGGUUUGGGGUUGCACAGAUUCGUUGCCUAGGGUUUUUCUAAAAAUGUCUGAUUAGACCCGACUCGGGAAUAGAUGCACACUCCUAGUAGGGUAGGAGAAUCCUCUCUUUUGGCGGGGUGAUCAUCUCACUUUGCACGUCCGACUCAAUAAUAUCAUAUGCAACUAUGCAAGCGAGAAGUUUCUGAGACUAAUAUCUAAAAAUAUUUUAUCGAAAUUUCUAGUUUUUAUAAUUACUGAUAUUAAUUUUUAUAUAUUUUUGAUAUUUUAUAUUUAGUCUAUUUAUUGUCGAAUAUAUAACUUUUAGAUAAAAUUUGGUAAAAUUUUCAUCGAUAUUCAAUAUUAUCUCGAUAUAUCUAAGGAUGGCAAUGGGUAGGGUAGGGUAUGGGGAUCAAAAUACCGUACCCAUACCUUUUUACAUUUCUCAUCCUCGUACCCGUCCCCGUACCUGUAAUUAGAUAAUGGGGAUUCCCCAUACCCGUACCCUUUGGGGAUUACGUUUCCAUACCCGUACCCGUUAACAAUUAUGUAUUAAAUUAAUUUUUUUUUUAAAUACGAAAUACAAUUAUAUAAAAGUAUGAAAUUAAAAUCAAAUACCAAAAUAAAUAAAUUUUAUGCUUCAAUCCAAUAAAAAUAAAUACAAGUCUUGGUUAAAACAGAACAAUACCAGUAAAUUUCAUUAACAGAAUAAAAAUAUAUAAUAAAAAUGAAGGUCCAUUAAAUGUUUAUUAAGAGAAUCACAAAAUUUUUUUCAUAAAUAUUUAUUUAUAAAUUAUAUAUAAAUAUAUAUAAUAAAUUAUGUAAUUAUAUAUAAUAAUGUUUUCAUCUUUAAUGGGUGGGGAUGGGGACGAAUAUCAAAAUACCAUACCCACUCUGUACCCGAUUUAAGAAUCCGAAUACUAAGGAUUCUCAUCCCCGUUACCCGUUUAUACCCGUAUAUCUUCCUCGUUAGGUCGAAUACCCGUGGGUACCUUACCCGCUGGGGAUUAUUGUCAUCCUUAGAUAUAUCCAUCGAGAUUUCCUUUUUUCGAACUAUCGAAAUUUUCAUAAUCGUCGAUAUUUUACUCCUUGUCUGAGACUGUUUUGGAUAUUUUACAUGUAAUUGGGAAUGUCCGGAGUGUUAUGUGUAAAUUAUAAAAAUUAUGACCGGUAGAUAAGAUGAAAUCGGUGACACGAUCACAUUUAUUAUAAGUUUGACGUAGCUUAGACGAAAUCGGUGCCACAAUUCCUGCAUUUAUUAUAGAGUUGUCGUCGUUUUACUGAACUAAUUUGAUGAAACUCAAAGAUGAGAAUUCAAAUGAGUAUGGUGGUCCAAAUCCGUUUUGGUUUGAUACUUCUGUAAUUAAAACCGAAAGAUCUUUUAAACAAUUAAUGAUCAAUAACGAUUCAAAAUAACGUAAACUACCGUACCGUUACUAAGACAUACUAAUAUUUAGUGAAAUAAUCAAUCACCAUGAGUCACUUCCUUCCUCCCCACGGGAAAAUCCCAUCUUAAAAGAAAAGUGUGGUAUAAUUCAUGACUACAAACUAAUGAAGUACAUAAUCAAAAGUAUGAAUCAUGAAGAUUGGUUCCAUGAAACAAAAAGUCCACACUCCACAUUAUUGAUCUAAGGAAAUCCAAGCCAGUUCAGAACUUCAAUUAGUUUUUUCUUGGUGAACUUUAGGUUAAAUUUGAGCAUUACCCUCACGGACCACCACACAGUUCAUACACCAUCCCCCAAACAGAGAAAUAAACCUACAUAUGGACCACUUCAGUUUUCAUUGAAACAACAUCAAAUCCCAGCUUUCAUCUCCCACUUCAUUCACAUUCUAAUCAGCCAAGUCCCAACUUUGAUAUACCUUAAGAUGUAAGGGAGAUCUGUAAUGUUUGCUAGAAUAAAGAACAAAACAUUGACAUCUGGUGGCCAACUGCCACUGCCAUUUGGUAAUGUUACAAGUAGCACAAGAGCCAAGGGUAUUGCCAGUUUGCCACUACCCAAAGCAUAUAUGCCCAGUAAAUAUUUUCCAAUCACAGAAUUUGGGUCAAACAAUGAUUCCAAUUCCAAUCACAUAGUAAUUCUAGUCUAAAAAAAUUCACCUACUCAAUGUUGAAACAAUUCAAUUUCUACCUAUAAGGGUGGCCAAUAACUUGCACCAUGAUUGUUUCUUUCUUGAACUGUAAAUGAGUGAUGCUUGUAUUGUAUAUGCACAAUCCAUGUCAGAGUUAGCAUGAUCCCCAAGCUGAUAUAGGAUACAGAAGCUCCAGAACAUCCCUGGUUGCUUGGAUUUUGUGGAUGAUAAACCCACUUGUAUUAGGUUAUAAAUCACCCCGAAAACUUGGCAAUCAGUAAGCUGACUGCCAUGAAAACGACAUAGAGUCCAACAAGACAGAAACCCCAGAACCUAGGCACCCGGAAUCUGCACCAUGUGAUCACCAAUAGAGAACCCAUCAAGCUCAAAAGCAGGAACACAAAUGCAAUCACAAUACCCACAUGGAACUGGAGCUCAUACGCUUCCGGAUAAACAUUAGAGGUCUGUAUCACCAAUGCUGAUCCAAGGCCAACAAGCAUGUUAAACAUUGGCCCGGCAAAGCACCCUGCCAUGGCCAUUGCAGGGUGGCCUGCCUUGGCAACUGCCACAUCAGCAACAAGAUCCCCCACAGAAUUUCCCCAGGCAAGAACCGUAAGCCCAAGAAGUGCUGGUGGCAACUCCAGAAGUGCUCCAAGUGCAGCAAGGCAGUUCAACAAUUCUCCAGCAGUAGUGGAUAUCCAAACGACACUCAUAACAAAUGCUAUAAGCAAUACAGGAAUUUGCUCGGUUUUGGGGGGCUCUUUCUCUAUUAUAUAAUGAAGAAGUGCAAGAGAGGAGCUUGCCAAGAAUACAACAAACCAUAGUGGAAGAUGGGUGUUGGAAAGGAGAAAAGCUACGGGAUGACUGAAUUCCAUGAACGCGUUGCAAGAGUAUAGAAGCGCUAGAGGGCACAGAGCAAUAUUGGCUGAUGUGUAGAAUCUACUCCACUCCGAUGGGGCAGCUUGUGGAAUGGUCAGCUUCAGAAGAACUGAGACUGGAACCUCCCAUACUUUUGAGACCUAUAUAUGAAAUAGAGAAAGGAUUAGUAGUGCAAUUUCCAGAAGAUAGAUACCGAAAACAAUUGUAUAUGCAAAAGAGAGCUAAAUAGUACAAUUUUCAGAAGAAGAAAGACACUGAAUAAUGCUCUUUUUCUGUACCAGCUAUGUAAUAGAUAUUGCAUAGCGGCAGUACAAAGUUUCAUGCUUUAUCCCAAUUCAGGAAGAUCAGAAGAGAUUUCAUAAUGAUAUAUGCAGUUUAUCCACAUAGUCAUCAGGAAACUCAUCCACUACAUGCUUUCACUACAUGAUUUAUCCCAAUUCAGGAAGAUCAGAAGAGAUUUCAUAAUAAUAUAUGCAGUUUAUCCAUAUAGUCAUCAGGAAACUCUUCCAUUAUAUUCUUCUACAGCUAGUAUCAGAAGUCAGGAGAUUUUACAGAUUCAAAUAUUGAAACUUUCAAGUAUCUCUUGUUCAGGUUAUCCUUACAAUAAGUAUAAAAUUUUAUACUUUCCCGCAUCAGAAUUCAAUUUUUAUACUUUCCCACAUCAGAAUUCAUUACCUAACUCAACUCUCUACUUUCUCCACUGCCUCACACCUCAAUGUCCAUUUCAUAUCUCCAAAGUUUCACUAGUUCAGAGGCUUAAAGAGCUUCUCACCAUGAUUUCCUUUUUUCAUUUCUUGGAAUAAGGCAAAGCAGAUUUCAUGAUCGCUAUGAGAAUGAGAUAAAGUAAAGCAAAGAGAACUAUGCCCACAUAUGUUAUUCGGUAGAAAAAAAUGUCUUGCAUAUCAUUCAUCUAAAGUCUAAAGUAGUGAGCAAGUAAUCCCACACUUAUUUGAAACCUAUUCCAUGGUGCAAAAACACAAAAUACUCAUCUUCAGGACUCUAGGCACUUUAUUUAUGCAAAGAUGUUCAAUCCCUAUGUGCAACCACAAGAAAACAGGUACUGGAGCUCAAAAGCGAAACUAGCAAGAACAAUAAAAUUCACAGCUAGCUGAGCUAAUUAGUUCUAGAGCAUCAGUUAUCAUCAAACAAAACCACAUUUUCAUCCCCGAUCAACCAGUUCUACAGCACUAAUCACUGCCAAACUUACUCUGAUCUAAUCCCACCACCAAAACCUACUAAACUAACACCACUACAUUAGUACAAUACUACAUUGUUCAAAACACGCAUCACAAUUUGUCCAAUUCACAAGUCGAAAAACACAAAUUUAACUGAAAACAUACCAUUUCCAUUACCCGCCGGACCCCGAAACUCGGGUUCUCCAUUUCCUCCGAUCUCUUCUCAACUCCUCCGAUCUCGCAGUCCACCGCAACAAACCCCUUCUGCAUUUCACUCUCCGCCACCUCACUCCGGCCCCUCUUCUCUCCUCCUCCUCCGCCGCCGCCCAACCCCAAGUCCAUCCAGAACACAAACCCCACAAAGAACAAGUAGAACCCAACAAACCCCACCGCCUGCCACAAGUAAAUCUCGGCGCUCAGGUACACGUAGAACAAGAACGUCGCCGAGAUCAGGUAAAACAUGACGUCACGGACGAACGUGGCGGGGCUGAGGGAGAAGGGCGCGGCGUAGAUCGCGACGAAACCGACGACGAAAGCGGAGACGAAGGCGCCGGCGGAGAGGAUGGCGCCGAAGCCGGUGCGGUAGUUGCCGCGGCGGACGGCGGCGAGGGAGGCGAAGACGUCGGGGGCGCCGUUGCCGAGGGCGAGGAGGGUGACGGCGGCCAUGGAGGGGGUGAGGUUGAGGGCGGAGGUGAGCUUGGUGGUGACGAGGGAGAAGUGGUCCUGGGCGGUUUUGAUGAGGAGGUAGAAGAGGAGGAGGAGGAUGAGGAGGAGGGAAGGGAGGGAGAGGUUAGGGUUUUGGUAGUUGAAGAGGCCAUUGGAGGAGGAGGAAGAAGGGGUGGUUGGGAGGAGGGACCUGUGAGGGAUUAGGGGAGAAGGGGAGGGGUAGUUUGGGGAAUGGGGAGUUGGGAGGAGGAGGAAGAAGAGGAAGGAGGAGAGGAGUGUGAGGGAGAGAGUGAAGGAUUUGAAGGUGGAGGAGAGGUUGGCCAUGCCAUUAGCUAAAGGAGAGUGACUACUGUAUUGCUCUCUCUCUUGCUCUAUAGUCUGAGCCUUUGGAGUUUUGACCAAGUAAGUCUAUUUUCAGGGUUUUUUUUUAAGAAAAAAUAAUAAUAAUUCUGUUUUGGAUGCAACUGGUCAACCAGUGUUUGUAUUGUACUUCAGGUAGAAAUAGAAUGGGGAAUGAAAGUAUGAACUUUGUUGGCACCCCAACAUCCCCAGAGUGAAGGCAUAGGAUUCUGGAAGCCUCCCACACCAUGACUAUCUUCAUAUGCAUUGCUAUAUUUGUCUUGAAGUUAGAUGUAGUUUAAUCCAAUCUGGUUCAUAUAAAAGAAGACUUAUUAGCUUCUUAAUACAUCAUGUUCAUACAAGUGAGGUUGAUGAGAGGCUACCUGGAAGCAUGUUUGUAUAUGGCAAGCAAGGUUGAUAUGCUCACAGCAUGUAAAUGAGGUACGAGGGGGCUAACGAUGCUUGUGAAAAGAGAGGCUAGAUAUGGCUCGUAUAUAAGAUCUUGUAUGAUUUUGGAUCUAAUCCUAGGGGAACAAACCUCAUUUCUAUAGAGCAUCCAGUACCGAGAGCUCAAUACUCGCAGUUUUCAUCAGUUUUCGCUACAUUAUCCUGCGGGGUUACAAAGAUCCUCCGGGUGGUGAUUGUGAUCUAGGAGAGACAGUGUUAUAUAUAUACAAGGGAGCUCGAGGGUACCCUUCAAGGUAAAAGAACAAUAGUGCCCUUAAUACACCUUUCAUGAAAUUGUUCAUUGGGGCUCCCUAGCUACAGUACUGAAAAUUAUGAGAUUCCCUCCUAUACAUCUCAAAUAAUUGAUCCAUACAUAAGCUAGAAAAACUUGCACUUAUUGGUUAUCAUGGCUGUCACCAUUGUCUUGUCCUAUGACAGUAAAAGGGAGCUGAGUCCGUGACAAUACCAAGGACGCUUUAAACCUCCUCACAAUUUUUACUGCAGAAUCCCACAUGCCCUCAGCUUUACUUUCCUUCAGAAUCAUCACAAAAACAUAAUGCAAGGCAGCGGCCAAAAUGCACAUCGCUCAUGCAGUGAGAAACUCUUAGGAUUCAGUACAUCUCAUAGUUGAAUAAAAUUCUAAAUAUUCUCUUGAGACCCCCGCAUCACCAUUCCUCUAACAGUCAUCUUCAUCCAUCCUAUUAAGAGACUUAACCACCCAUGAUUGAUCAAUCAUCUGCUUUAUUUGCAGAGUUAAGUGCAACUGUCUUUUAAUUUGGUCUUAACUUAUCCUGCGAGGUUACAAAGAUCCUCCCCAUACCAAUUAUGUAAAGCUGCUUAAGAAAACUGAAAGUUUUAUCGAUUCCUGACAUCCUUAAUAGAUCUUAAUUUCCUGGAAUAGUUUCAUUCUUUACGUUUUGCCUGUAAAUUUAGAUCACAGCUGAGCGAUUUACAUGUAUGUGGAUAUCAAAAUAGAAAAUGAAUGGAUUCUACUAUCACUGAUAUAUUGCAUAUUUGCAUACACACAACUUUGGAUGUGAAUCUAAGAGUUGAUUCUUCAUGAUUAUUAUCAACAGCUAAAUGUUAUAAUUAACAUACAACUUCAAGAUUUGUUGAUAGCUUGACUAAAUUAACCCCUUCACCGUCAUGUAUAUCCCCUUAUAAUUGUUUAUUGAAGUUGAAAACAUCAUCUAUACCUCAAAUAGCCUUAAGCUGCUUACAUAUUGUUAGGUUGCUUACAUAGGAAACUUGCAACUUGGCCUAGGUACAUGCGAGUACUUGUACUCUGAAAGCUAAUACAGUCAAUUUUCUGAUCUAUAUUCAGUGUCGUAGAAGCAUUUUGUAUAUCCAUUACUCUGAAGUAUUCACUAAACAUACAUUAUGUCUUUUACAAAGGAAAAAAAUUAAUAAUUGAACUCUGCAUCCUCUGCAUGCAUGUAUAUGAAAACUGUUAAUCACUCUCAGGCACCCCUACGAAGAAGUUGCGAAAAAGUUUAUCAUUGGCGUUGAAUUCCAUCAGCAAUUCAUCCAAGUCAGGGAUUGGACCAGGGAUGUCGUAAAGAACCUUUACGUGAUCUUCAUUUGCUGAGCUUUUUACCAAGUUUUUUCUGGUAUAGCUUCUUUUUUUCCUUACAAUUCGCAUGUCCUCUACCAUCAUAGCAUCACUGUUUCUUUUUGUCUGUCCUUGAAGAGUCUCUUCUCUUGUUGAAGAAGCAGAAGAAGAAGAAGACGUUUUCUCCAAUACCUGAACCUCAUCUACUUCAGACUUUGAUCUUCCAUCAGGUACUGCUAGAUUUUCCUUUUCAGUAAAAGGCUCAGAAGUUGUGGCAUCUGUAUCAGAGAUAGGAACCGCCUCUUCUCGCCUCUUGUUCUUCCUUUCAAGUAAGAGCUCUUGUUCUCCUUUCCUUUUUGUCCUUUUGUUUUCAAGGACUUGUGCUGCUCUUGCUUCUUGUUUUUCUUUCUUUGCAUUUUUUCUUUCUUUUCCUAAGAGUGCUUGGCUUUCUUCUUGUUUUCUCUUUCUUUUAUUCUUUUCUAGGUCUUCUGCUGCUUCUUGCUUUUCAUUCUGCUUCUUCUUCUUCUUUUCGUUUUCCGAAAUUAACAGUGCUGCUGCCUUCUGUUCUUUCUGCAUCUUCCUCUUUUCGAGUAAGACUGCUAAGGUUUCUUCGUCUUCUCUCUUUCUUUUGUUCUUCUUUUUAAGUAACACUGCUAGUCUUUCUUCUUCUUCUAGUGAGAGUGCUAGGGUUUCUUGAUCUCUCUUUCUUUUCUUUAUUUCACAUUCUUUCGCAGUAUCUACAGCUUCUUCUUGCUCACUGUUCUUAUUCCUCUUUAUCAUACUCUCUUCAUCAAGCUGAUCUUCUGUUGUCACUUCGCGUUCUCUCUUUCUUGUAUCCUCUUUUUCAUGUUCUUGUUGUCUCUGUCUUUUCUGGCCCUUUGUGGUAUCAGCGCUGUUUUUCCUCUUCAAAGCUUUGAGAGCAAGCACAACUGGUUUCAGAUUGUCUGAUGUUUCUCGCCUUGAACUAUAACUCUCCAUCUCUAGACGUUUAAUCUAUUAACUCACUACCUGAGACUAACAAAACAUUCUGACUUAUAUAAGUAUUAGGACCUGGAAAACCAAUUUGUACUAGGAAUAUAUAAAACGCAUACUCUGAUCUAUUAGGAUUAGGAAACCAAUUUGUGCUAGGAAGAUAUAACCUCAAGAUUACUCGUAAGGUAGUCUCCUAAUCAAUAAUGGAAAGUUGAAAUCUUUCCUCUCCUAAACAUAAAUUCAACAGGUACUUGAAGCGUGCGGGCCAAGUCUCAAGACAUUAGACAUUAGAGAAUUCACCAACAUACUACUAAAGAUUUUCCAGUUUAUGAAGAUUCGAUAUCUUCCUUGUCUUGUUUCAAUAUAUAUAGAAUCAGCAAAAAGAAAAAGAAAAUUUCUCAUUCGAAACGAAAAAUCGAAAAAGAAUCAAACACUGUAUUUUGACGGAUUCAAUUCACUAGCCAAGGAUUGGAAAAUCUGUGAAAAUGGAAGGAAUUGGGAACUUGGUAGGAAAGGGAUGCAAAUGAUUUUAGGGUCUAGGCGAGUUGGUUUGACCAGAGAAAUGAAAUUUGAUCAAAGAAAUAAAAGCAAUCCCGUUUCGCUGUUCUGAGUGUUGUCAAUUGUUGUGGUGUACUGGUGAUGGUUUAGUUUUGCACUGAGUUGAGCUUGUGUAAAGGAGCUAUGGUUCACCCAAUUAAGCAGACCCCAUUCAGGUGAGGAGAAACUUUAUCGUUCCAACUAGGUGUUCGGUGGUUAUGGAACUUUUACCUUUUUUGCAAACUCUUGCCAUACACUUGUGAAGAUCAGUAAUAACGGUUCUACCAUCUGGAAAUCCAGUUAUAUCUUCACUCAACCAAACAAAAGGAUAUAUCAAAAAUGAAAAAAUACAAGGAAACAAGUUUGAAGAGAAGCAAUAAACAGCUAGCUACGAAGCUUAAAAGAAAAGAUCUCUCAUAAUUAGCAACAUGUUCAGUGAAUCCAAAAGUACAAGAAAUUUCCCUCUCUUUUUUUCGUUUUCUUAGUAAACUCUUCCCUGUUUCUAAGUCUAUAAUAUCAAAUGACCUUUUUUAUAUCCCCUUGUUAAAGAGGCUAAAGCUACAUAAACAACAAGUUACACAGGACACCCUCAUCUAUAUUCUUGUGGCAAGCGAUAUCCAGGCAUUGUUAUCUUGUCAGCAAACAUUUUACCCGUCUUGGGCAUGACAUGCCAGUGCAAUGUGAAGUUGAAUUCUUUACCUCGGAGAUUGUUUCCCUGCACAAGAAACAAAACUAUGAACAAACUUCGAUUUACCAAGAAACUGCAUUGGAAAGCUUAGCAACAAAUGCGAGGGAUGAAAAGAGCUGGUUCACGAAGAUACAAUACCUGAUCAACAAAACGGUAUUUGUUUGAAGUAUGAAUUGAAAACUUGGCAUGCUCUUUGGAAGGUAUGAUACCAUCCCAAAGAGAGAUCUGUAAAAUAGCGAUACAAUUUAAGCAAGACUUCAAUUUAAAGAAAUUGGAAUAUAAUAUAAAGAUAACAGAGCCUACAAGAAAUUAAAGGAUAUAGUGAAUAUGUGUAUCUAAGGAAUGCCCAAAAAGAUCAAAACAAAUGGAAAAAAGAUAACUCAAAAGCACAUGUGCAUAGCUAUAUCCAUAGCUUACCUGAUUCAAUGCAUUCUUUGCGGUUUCAUACUCAGCAGCUAGAAAAACAAAAACCUAUUGCAAGACAGCAAGAAUGGGAUCAGAUUCAGAUUUAUGUGACAUGGCUACAUGACAUAAACUGGCUGCAAAAUGAGAAAUUGCAUUGGCCUUAUUGUUAGUUCACAAACUUCAAUUACACAAGACACUUUAAUAACAAUGCAGCAAAGCACAGGAUAACAAAGACAGUUUCUCAAUAGAAAUGAAACUAGUUACUUUAAUCUUGUUCUCCUAGUCUUCAGACCAUGAUUAUCACCGAUUCCCUCACGGUUCUUGGAAACUAUAUAUUACUUAAAGCAAAUGCAUUAAACAAUAACAACAGAAUCCAGCUAACAUUGACUCCCAUGGUGCAUUCUUGAAAACCACUUAUGUACCCAAGGCUACUUGUAAACAAUGUAGGUGGAAAAACAGAAAGCUUCUUGGUAGAAAUGAAAGUAGUUACUGGACUCUUGUUUUUCUACCAUGAUAGUUACUAUAACUCUUCAGACAAUGAUUAUCACCGAAUCCCUCAUAAUGUAUUCAUAAAAACCCACCUACCCGAUGAAAACAUACAUAUUAAACAGUUUAGGUUACAUUGAAAUUUAGCUAGCCUACACAGAGAGAUCAAAUUACCAACCUGCUUCGUGUUCCAUGUAAACAAUGACUGCAAGUCUGCUGAUAUAUUCAGUGUCAUGCUGACCUGCAUAAAGUGAAAACAUUAUUUCAUAUCAAAAUUCUGGCUUCUUCCAUACAUACAAUUUCAAAUCUAAAUCAGCUAUCUACCAAGGCCUUCAUAAGUCAACAAAGGAAAUCUAAAAGUCGAUAAUCCUAAGAGUGCAGAUGAGACAAGAGUUCAUGAAACUCUGCAGUUGUACUACUCCAAACCGUUACUUCUUUCUAAUAUCGACCUCUACUGAAUACCUUUUUAUAUUAUUUUACCUAUUUUUCUAAUAGCAACUAACUCUGAGUGAAAUUGUGAUUUCAGAUUAUGUUCUGGUAGUCAUGUAACUAUCUGUGGGUGCUCAACUAUUGCACCAAAUUUCCAAAUCCUGCACUCCAGCAACAUGAAGCUUCAAUAAAUAAUCGAACAAAAUAAAAACCCAAUACCUUUAAGAUUAUAUCCAACCCCGGGUAAGGACACUAUUAGGAAUCAAGGCGAACAGUUAACAUCUCGAAAAAAACUACCACCUAUCGUUAGUACUUGAUAGCUUAUAAGUCGAGACACAAGGAGCUUAUGUAUAGCAAUGGGAGCCUAGUAUUCACAUUGCAAGUGUCAUGUAUAGCUCAAAGAAAACAAUAUAUGCAAUGAAAUACCAUAAUUUUACUCCAACACCUGCAUACGGAUACAUUAAAAUAUAUAGAUACAAUUGCAUAUAAGGUUAUAAACCCCAAAAGACCACUCACAUAGAUAAUAAACCUCAACGUUUCAACCUUCAAACUAAUACCUUGAUGACACUAAACCAAUCAAAAUCGAGAACCCAUUCGCCCCAACACAAAAUUUAAAUCACAUUCAAAUUCCACUUACAAACCAAAAAGAAAAAAGGCACGAAAUUUACCUCGUCGUUCCCAUUGGGUUGCUUCUGAAACCAAUUGAUGUUCAACACCUAAACAAAACAAUCAAAAUCAGAACCAAAAACCCAACUGGGUAUUUCAAAUUCACAAUCUUUUAGGAAUCCAAGAUCUACCCACCUGGACUUGGGAAGUGGGAGAUGGGAAGUUGAAAUUGUCGGAGACGGAGGCCAUGGCGCACAUGAGGGCCAGGAUUGUGACGGCGAAGGUGAGCAAAGCAUUGAAUCUGUACCCAAAAGAAUGCAUCUUUCUUUCUUCUUUCUCUCUCUCUCUCUCUUUUGGGUUUCUUUCUGGUUUUUGCUUCUGGCGUUUUGGUUGGAGAGAAAGAAAGAUGAAACUGAAGACUGGUUUUAGUCUAUUAAAUCACAUAAAUUCCCAAAUCCAGUUAGGAAAAGAGUGUCACACUUUGCUCCAUACUCAUCACUCAUUGGACAACACACGUAUGUUGGACCCACCACUAUAGAAACUCCUUAGUAUUUUUCUCUUUUAAAUUUUUGAUUAUUCUCUCUUGCAUGUACUAAAUCUUCAUAUAGGCUUAAACAAAAGGGGUCCAAUGCUUUGAUAGCUUAAGAUCAAUAUCUCCAUAUAUACUUCAUUGGUUUAGGUGAAUUUGAUCCUCAUUUGAUAUCAAUUUUGAAAUUGUGUAAAUUGAGGUUGUUUGUAAUAACUUCAUUGGUAAAUUGAUCAGUAUAAUCGAAUGUAAUUUCAGUUCAAAAAAGACGUGCAUAGAUAUUUUAAAGUAAAAAAAGAAACGUAGAUCUUUUAAUUAAUUCUCCAAUCUCAAAAGGUGUCAUAUAUGGAUAUCCCUAGUAAAUUGGCCUAUGCAUUUAGCUAAUCACGACAACAAGGGCAAGAAACAUGUAGUUCUAGCUAGUAGCAACCGGAAGUUUCAAUCCUAGCCUCCUACUAAUGUUGGAAAUGGCAAGGGACGCAUUUGAAUUCUGAAGGCUUUUGUGUGAUUUGGAGGUUUUAUUUCACCUGUUAGUAAUGCAUACAACAUGAGGGGACUUAUAUCGAUCGGCUGAACAUUGUAUACAAUUGUGUCAUUAUGACAAGCAAAGUAUAUAUGUACCGUACCUUCUAACGAAGCUUAACCUUACUGGCUAGAGCUAGUCAAGGUUAGGGUUUCUUGUCUGAGUCGACUAGGAUGGUACGUACCCAGUGAAUAUCCCUUAAGUGCAUGAUUGUGUUUGGUUCUGUUCGAUCAACUCCAGUCGUUUAGCAUUCAUGGAGUUUGGAUAUAUAGCAUACCGGAUCAUAGGCAUAUGUAGAGAUGUCUAUGGUGUGGUUUGCAUUCGCAGGGAGCGAGGGAGAAGAUGUUGAUCAGGUAAUGAAAAGUGAUGAUAGUUUGAGGGAGAACAUAAGAAUUGCGGAUGAGCUUGUAACAAACCAAAUAAGCUCAAUAAGAUAGUAAGGGAUUGCAUCUUACCUUUGGUUUAGCUCGUACCAUAAUUGUUAGAUAUAUGUUAGCUUUUCAAUUACUUUAUUAACAGGUAGUCUGGUUUUCUUGACACAUUAGAGUGAUGCAUGAGUCCUAUUAAUCAAGUUGCUAUAUGCCUACAUAACUAAAACAACCUACAUAAAACAUCAGAGCUUUUAUUAAUUAUUCUUGUAGUAAUAUUACUAUAGAGAUCACAACACAAAGCACACAUUUAAGCUCAAUCUUUACUUCAUUAUUCUCUCUCUCUCUCUNNNNNNNNNNNNNNNNNNNNUUCUCUCUCUCUCUCUCUCUCUCUCUCUCUCUCUCUCUCUCUCUCUCUCUACGAGGCCUCGAUCAUCUACGGAGUAGUAGUCAUGUUGUUGUUGAAGUUGGCACAAUUAGUCCUCUGUAACAACGAGUUGCUGAAGCCAAUCCUCGAGUUCACCAAAUCCAGCUGCACUAGGUUAUCCUCCAUCUGAUGUGCCCCAAUCACGAUCGGAGCUCUAGGGUUCAUCCCACCGUUUACCAUGGCCAAGCACAUAACUCCCGGACGCGCCUGAACUAUAGCAUUUUGGCCAGAUAUAGUCCACCUUAUCUUCUGCUGGUUGUCCAACACAAGCUCAAUGCUAGGCACUUGCGGACCCAUCUUGCUAUAACUGAUGUUGUUUGCAUUGAAACACAGCCCGAAUGGCGCCACCGAGGUCACCGGCGGCACUCCCGGGAACUGCCUGAUGAAGAGCCGAGUGAGGACUGUGAAGAUAGACUGAUGUAGCAUUGUGUAUGGAGUUGUGGUGCUGAGUGUGGCUUGGUUAGAACGAAGCCUAGGAGGGAGUGGUACAACAACAUUGUUGAUUUGGAUGGAUUGGACGUUCAUCAUGUACUCUCCUUGUUGACCUAUGAAUAGUGGGGCGUACAUCAGCUGCCUGGACACAUCGGUUCCCGGCAUCAUGUACGUCCCCUCGCCGAAGAAAAUGACGCCUUUUUGUCCCGAGCCAGAAGCGAGGCAGAAAGCGAUCUUUGGUGGGAUGCCAAAAUGGGAAGCAAGCUGGGAAGGAAGUGAAAUCCUGGAGUGGCCCAUCCCACCAAUUCCUUGAACGUUUUGGGGUAGUCCUCUUUGCAAAAGUGUAGAAGGUGCGCAUGCAAAGAGGAACUGAGGAACUGUGACCAUUGGACCUGGCCUCGAGCCUACGGCAGAUGGGAUCGAGAGCACAUCCUCCGCGAGCUCGCCAAUGGCACUUUGUUGGGUGACAGGGUUCACAGCCGUGACCGCGCAUGCAUUGACGUGACAAUAGCCAGGUCUAGCCAUGGGGAGUCUUGGGGUUCUGGGAGAGCAUGUUCGGCACGAGUGGGUGUUGGCUCUAGAGCAUUGGGCUGAAUGGCAAACAGGGGCAUUGAAAGUUGAUGACAAGUACUUGUUUUCACAAUUGACAGAUAAGAACUGCCCGUUUAGGUCGAGAACAAAGGGGAGUUGAACAGGAGGGGUUCUCUUGAAAAUCUGGGUCACAUGGAGACCGGUAGCACCAUCUUUCUGCACCUUGAGAAAGAGGUUGGUUGGCCUGAGGAUAGGCGUGGGUGGUCGAGGUCGAGGUCGAGGUUGAGGUUGAGGUCGAGGUCGAGGUCGAGGUUGUGCUGCGGAUGACUGAUCAUCAUCCGCAGACACAAAAAUAAGAUGAAUAGAUAAAGAGAACAAGAGAAGAAACUGAAGGAAAGAAGCCAUGGAUAAUGGGAAGCAGAAGAGUUGCUAUAGGCUAUAGCUAGAGAGGAGAUGGUUGCAAUGGGACUUGGUAAUGGAAUAGAGAGAAGAGGGUGCAAUUUAUAGUGUAUUAUAGAUGCAUGCAGACAUAGCUAAGGUAGUGUGAUCAUAUGGGAAAGUUUUUUGUUCCAGUUUUUGUGACUUUAUCUGAGGAGGUUCACGCUUUU
Molecule: long non-coding RNA, 57218 nt
Filed under: Fragaria vesca (wild strawberry)
Lineage: Eukaryota; Viridiplantae; Streptophyta; Magnoliopsida; Rosales; Rosaceae
Description: long non-coding RNA (FVES_LNC002805)
Source: RNAcentral